UCUUUUUCUUUCCUCUCAGGUGGGUAUCUUGUACCCCUAAUUCUACUGUCGGACACUUGUCCAUUUUUACCUCUCGUCUCACUUUUUCUUUCUUUCGAGGUUCCGGGCACUUGCCCCUUUUUAUUUCCUCGUUUUUUUUCUUUUUAGAGCACUCAUCUCUUGAGAUAAUAUAGCAAGUGGUAGUAGCAAGAUAACUUGAGCAUUUAUUUCACAAGGGAAAACAGAAAUAUUUUUGGCUAUUCUCUCCCGGAUUAGGAGUAGAAUAUUUUUGGGUGGUUCUGGAGAUGGACAUGGAUGGAUAUGUGGAUGGUACUUCCGGAGUAGAAGUAGCAGAUGUGAGUGAACGUGCAAGUGAAUCUUGAUUUAACCACAUGACAAGGUCCUAAGGGUCUACACAGCUUGACCACACUCAAUGCUCAUAAGCAGUAAAUAAUAAAUGUGUGGCUCAAAGUCUAGCAAGCAUGUAUAUAUGGCUGUGGUAGGAAUUUAAACUCUCAUCAUACAGGAACUCAUCAUGCAAUAUUUUAAAGAUUUUUCAAAGAUAAAAUUCUCUAGAAUUCUAGCAUCUCUAGGAACAGAUAAACAGCAGCUCAACCUUCCCAUAUCAUAUCCGUUAACAACAUAGACUUCAGAUCAAGUUUUCAUCCCACAAGUCUAGAUCUAGAGCAAGCUUUAAAUUAUAACAGUUAUGUCUAAACUUGAGAGAGAACUUCAAAUUUGCAAAUUAGGCAGAGCAACUAUUCAUCAUAUCCAUGCUAGAGUUUUAUUAUUAAGAUUCAGAUUAGCAUAGCCACUUUAUUUAUUUAUUAAACACACUAAGCAAAAGAUAUAUAUAAGCACAAAAUCUUUAUUUGGUUUUUCAUAGUUUAUGUAUUUUAAUAUUCUAAUAUAAUAUAAGUAUAAAGAUAGGUAGAAAUACUUAGCGAGAUAAAUGGGGGUGCUCUCCCCCAAGCUGAAUUUUGACGUAAUUUCUCUUGAUGUAGCUAGCAGGUGGCAGAGGUGUAUUUGAAAGUCAGCAGCAUUCUAACAGCGAUUAGAAUGUCCUCCGUCUGCUAGUCUUCUUGAUUCUUAAAUUCUGUGGAGCUCAAAUGGACAACAAAGCUUGUGGAACUAAUUAAGUGUUAGCAUAAAUAUCUAGCCUUCAUCAUGUUGAGCUUCCUCAAUAAAUAUUACUCCCUGUUUUUAUAUUUUUAUUUUAUAAAGCAGAAAAGAAAUAUUUAUUUUAUUUUUAUGCCACCACAGUGAAGGUACUUAUGGGUUUUAUGCCACUCGUAUACUCACAUGGGGCUUAGUAUUUUCUAACAUUUUUAUUUUCUUUUGAAGAUAGCAUGAUUAACUAAUAAUCUAUUGAAGGAAAGUAAAUAAUUAAAGGGAAAAGGGAAUGCAGAGAGGAUAAAUAUGGAUAACUACCGAUCUUACCUUUCGGCGAGGGUUCAAUGUUUUAAGUCUUCUUAACAAGACUUCUCACCGUGUUCAUUCUUCAGAUGCAUCAUUUGAUUCAGUGCGGACCUUGACGUUUGCACCUCUUCGUUUGCCCAGCAGUUCGAAGUGCGGCGUUGGCAGUAUCCUGCUCAGUGUGUUUGUGCUCGUAGAUCCAGGUCCUUCACUUGGUAGAGUCUGAGAGUUAUAAAACUCCUCCGUGUUUUGCUCAAAGUGUACCUGCUCAUAGAGACAAGGCAGAGAUCAGGUACAUGGGUCCUGUUGGUGGAAAACACCAACAGAACCUAAAGUGUAUUUGUUCUUCUCUUACCCUAAGCAUAGUGAGCAAGACAAAGUUGAUGGAUGAAAUGUUCAUGAGUGUAGCACUUAUAACAUUUGUCAGAUCAGAUCGCUCAACCUUAUGGAAAGAUAAUCUAUCUAUGUAUAUGUCUUUUUCUUUAUAUCUCUCAAUGAUUGAAUUUGUAAUAUUUUAGCUCAUAUGAUUAGGAGUGUGGGAUCAAGGAGGUAGUACUAAGAACAAGGAUUAAAGGACUAAAUAUGUUGAAUCAGUUGGGUUGGUUAAUCUAGAGUUGUAAAUCAUACAUGUUUGUCCCUUUUAUUUAUAUGAACGCCAGAACCAAGGAGAGGCUUAUAAAAGUGAUAGUCAAGUACCUUAAGAUGUUACCUUGCUUGAAGAGUGAUGGUACAGUAUCACCUUGUGGAAGCUUUCCUUCCUUAGCGGUUGUGCAUCGUGUUUGUGGCACCCUCCAUGGAUCGUCUCUCUAUGAUGAAUGAGCUAUGUCCUUCUUGUGCAAAUUGUUAAACUUCAUGUGUCACUCUCUUCGUCUCUGAUGUGAGUUUAUCUCAAGACUUCCCAAAUUGAUAUUGAAAGUUUUUCUAUAGGGGUUAGUCCGACAAAAAUAUACCAAUGUCUACACAAGCAGUUUUUAGUUCAAUAACUGAACUAGACUCCAUGUCUAAUCAGAUUAAGGAAGGCUGUUUAACCUAAGCACCAUGCUUAAUUUAAAAGCCAAUAGAAGUAUGUGCAGUACUUCCAAACUAACACUUACUAGUAAAUAGACAAAGGUAACAUGACAGCAUUUAUAUAGAUCUACUCAAGUGGAGAUGAAGUAGUGUGAUUAGUAUUUAACAAAUUGAGCAUGUCUUAAAGGUAGGGACAACCAACAUAGCAACAUGGCAAAGGAUGUUUUUAUGUAAAGUACUCCCCCAAGCUUGAAUUUUGCAGAAUUCAAGUUUGGAUGAAUUUAAUUCAGUGUUGCAUGAUGAUUGGUUAAGGACAUACCUUGUACUUGCUUGUCAUUCAUCGGAUCUUCUUGUUCCUAUCCUGGAAAGGUUAGUGACAAGAAUACCCGAAGGAAUAUUUUUACAAUUAUCCUUAUAUGCUCAAUACACAAGGUAAUGUUGCAAAUAAAAAACUCAUGUUACGAUCUGAUCAGUGCUUAUUUUAGGACACCAAGCUUGUCCUUGGGAAACCAUCAAUUUAUGUCAGCGAAGUGGUUUCCCUUCCAAUGCUGACCUAAAUCAAGAUCAACUCAACGAGAUCUGCAAUAUUUAUUAUAGACAUAUGCAUCGACAACCGCCCUUUUAAAGUUUUUAUAAAUAGAAAAGAAGAGGGGGUUGGAGAUCUCAAAUAUGGUGAUGUCAGAGAGACCAAUAGAUUGGGAAGAUGUUGCAUAUGAGCAUGGAGUAAACAAAGUGGCUAUGAAAUAAAUUCCAUGCUCAUUAAUGUUAUCUUCGUCUCCAAUCUGAAUGUUCAGAGUUUCUCUUGGAUUGGUCUCACUUAUGUCCUCUUCUAUAGUUGGAUGAAUCCCAUCUUCAAAGAGAGUCAAGAACUCACCAUUUGAAAUUGAACCAAAGUCAGAAUUCAUUAAGGCUUCUUCCUUAUCCAUCCAUUCCACACAUUCUAGCCAUUUAGAACUUGUGAUCAGGAAAGGGGAGGUGUUAGAAUUUUCAAUAUGGCUUAGCUCUCCUUCACAUGAUAUGUCAUCCUCGACUUCUUCAUAACAGGAACCAGGACAUUCUCUAAGAGAACCAUUAUUGCGAGGAUUUGAAUUAUCCCUGCUUGAAGGUCUCUUAUGGAACUAGAAGUCUAAACCAUCAGCAUCUGAAAGAUUUAAGGUCGGAAUUCCUUCCUCCCUUGGAGAAUUUUGGGGUAUUGAUGGUUUAGGAUCGAUAGCUAAAGUUUGGAAUUGAAGUGGUUGUGAUCUGGCUAUCGAAACUUCUUCUUCUUGUCUAGGAACUCGUUCUGUCUCUUUCUCAGGGAUAUAAAAGCUAGGAGACUUUCCACUUAAUAAAUCAAUCAAAUUCCAAGCUUCACUAGCAGGUAAUAAAUCAAUCAAACUCGUUCUGUCUCUUCCUCUAGAGGCUGUAUUCAAGGUUUGCUUAUUUUCCCCACUAAGGCCCUCAAAAAAGUGAAUUAGAAGAACUUCUUCUGGAAUAGAAUGCUUUGUGCCAGUGAGAGUAAGGUUAAUAAAACGGUCCCAUGAUUUCCUAAGAGAUUCUUCUUUCAGUUGUCUAAAAGAAAUAAUCUCACGCCGAAGUUCCGCCACUUUGGAGAUUGGAAAAUAUUUAGAAAGAAAACUACUAUAUAACUCCUUCCAAUCUCCAUGAACACUCCCUAUUUUGAGUUUGUACCAAUGUCUAGCUUUCCCCGUUAAAGAGAAUGGAAAGAGCUUCCAUUUAAGGGUCUCAUCGGACAUUCCUUCUAUGCGAAGGAGGUCACAGACUCGAUAAAACACUCUUAGGUGUGUGUAUGGGUUUUCCUCACCUUCUCCUGAGAAAGGUUGUUUUUGAACAAAUUCUAUGUAUUCGGGGUUUAUCUCAAAACUAGAUGCUAUGAUAGGCUUUGAAGAUUUUGGUGGUUUGAGAUGUGUGCCCGUAGGUCUAUGAAAAUCAUAGAUAGACAUGUUUGAAUUCAUGAUAGACCAGAGAUCAAGGAUUAGAUAAGAAGAAAGAUUAGCAGAGAUGAGGCAAAGGAUAAAAGGAAUAUAUAUAUAUAUAUAUAUAUAUAUAUAUAUAUAUAUAUAUAUAUAUAGAAAAGGAUUAAGCUAGUUCGUAGUCGAUUCAGCAACCGUUUCCCCGGCAACGGCGCCAAAAAUGCUUGUUGACACUUACUAACACCACUUGAAUACUAGGUUGUCAUCCCUAGCAUGGCACUAGAGUGUACUAUGGUAUUUAUACACACACAGAUAAUCCACAAGCGCACGGAUACCGUUGAAGCUUUUACCCGGUUAAAGGUUUUAUCGUAUCCACAGGGAAACGGGAGAACCACCUACGCUCUAACUUAACCAAGAUAGAUAAGUAAGUGUAAGUAGGAAAGAUGGUAGAAUUAAAUAAGAACAAUAUUAAAGGUAAGAUAACAAUGGGUGAUAAUAUGAGAAUAGAGAGUAGAGCAAUCUAGUAUAUGGGUGAUGAUAGCAGAAUAGAGAGAAUAACUAUGGUUUCUCUACUUCAAAGGGGUAUGUCUAUGUCUGGGACGAACCACGUGAUAAGAGUACACCACAAAGGAUGCUUAUCCUUAGGCCGAUAAACCCUACCCGUCCUGCUAACGAGAGGUGGACUACAGAGGACCAACGUAACUGUCACCUACGCGGCCUACCACACGAUCUGGCUAGACAGGAGAUAUCCACAAGUAAUCUAGAUCUAAGCACCUCGCUUACACCUAUACUACAACUCUCACCUAUAGCGUCCUAUAGAUUAGAAUACUCAAAAGAGUUGUGAACCAGAACAUACAUAAUUAGUAAUUGCAUAAUAAAUUAGAAGUAGAUUACCAGAGUCAUCCCAUGAGCAAGCUUGAUUAGAGCUUGAUCAUGACGAAGUACAACCGGAGGAAGAACCGACAGGCCGGCCUCUCCUCCAAUCCUCCCUCGCUCUCCAUCUUGCUACUAUCUAGAUCUACACUAGUUUAGAGAAGAGAGGAGAGCUCUCAUCUCUAAACCCUAGCUUUUGCUCUCUCUAUGAAUAAUGAAUAAUGAUCAAGGGGUGCCUCCUCCAGGGGCCAGGGGGUCUGGUUAUAUAGUCCCCUCAAGUGAACCUGGGCCGUCGGAUCAAACCGACAUUGAUUGAACAGUUAUUCUUGAUCCUUUAGGUCGGUGGAGAUCUCUCGAGAGAAAGAGUCGUGAUUGGGCUCCAAGUCAGGGCGGGCACCCAGGGCAGGAGGGCGGGCGCCCUGCCUCUGGCCCCGUUCGGCCUCCGCUUCCUUCCCGUGGCUUCUGGAUGCUUCUAGAUGUAAGAUAAUUGCGCGGCACAUUAAUAUCUCUAUGUAAUCCCGACGUGUGGGCCUUUAUUCCGUAUUUCCUGAUAACCCCUUGUAGAAAUAGACAAACACCAAAACUCAUGGAAUUCUGUUAGAUAAAACCCUAAGUCUAGAUGUUGAUUUCAUUUGGAUCCUUUUCUUUGUUUAUUUGAUAAUUAAAUUUGAUACUUAAGGACCGUCAACAAUGGUGGGCCUGCUAUCAAUAUCAUGUCAUAUGCAGUAUAUCGGAAGCUUGGCAAAGGAGAUCAGGAUUUGACCAAGACUGAUAUGAUGUUAAAGGAGUUUGAAGGAAAUGUGUCUCUAGUCAAGGGAGCCAUAUGUGUUGAGUUAACCGUCGGCAGCAAAACCAUGCCGACAACUUUCUUUGUCAUUAGUGGAAAGGGUGCUUAUAAUUUGCUGUUAGGGAGAGAUUGGAUUCAUGCCAAUUGUUGGAUCCCAUCUAUAAUGCACCAAUGCUUGGUUCAGUGGGUAGGUGACAAGAUUGAAAUUGUCCCAGGGGAUUCUUCAUUUGUCAUUGCAUCGGCAGAAGCAGAUACUUAUGAAAGGACCAGAUGCAUUUCAGGAGAGAUUUGGGAGAAGGAUUUUCUCAAAGUCGCCGAUUAUGAAAUUCCACCGAUCCAAGCAGUCGGUUCUCACGAGGAGUUUUAGUGGAUAGGUUCGCCGAUGAUGGAAAAUUAGGCCAGGGGUUUACAUCGGUCAAUGAUUUAGUAGAAGUAGAUAUAGGUAAUUGUAAGUGCAAUAAAGCCCAUUGUGGGUUUUGGUGUUGAUGACCACUGAAUUAGGGAACUAAUGAUCUUUAGUGAGAUGACAAGCAGGGAACUAAGAAUGGAGGAUGUUAAACAGUUUGAUGGGUCACCGAUCCAAUUUGAAAAGGCUUUUCAAAGAGAUCUCAUGGAAGUUUUAUCUUUGUUUCUAUUUAUUCCUUGAGUAUAGGAAAAGCCGUACUAUCAAGAGGGACUCCAGGUUUGUUGAUCAAAUGUCGAACGAAAUGCUCAAAUCUUCUGUUUCAUUCUCAACCCUCACUCCAAUCAGUCGUGCUCUCUCUGUGUUUUCCUGACUGGUUUGACUAGGACGGCAGUGCCGCCCUCCUUCUAGCUGUUGGAAUACAGGGGUAUAUAUACCCUUCCUACUUGACCACAAUGGUCAUCUGAGCCAUUCACUUCGUCUUCCUUCGUCCUAACCAUUACAGAACACCAGUGCUCACAUCUCUCUCUCUUCCAUUGUUGCAUCUCAAGCUCUCAAGCAAAUCCAUCAUUCCAACCAUCAUUUCUUGAGAGAAAGGGUUGCAAACUUUGAUUAGAGAGCAGAUCCAUUGUUUCCCAAAGUCUAAGAGCAUUUGGUUCACGUUUGGUCGGCAUCCCUAGAGUUUGUUACUCUUGGAGCUUGCUCCUAGCUGGCUAGGCAUCGCCCUAGAGCUUGCCAAACUUGUGUGGUAGCCAAGGGAAGUCUGUAACCUCGACUUGAAGCUAAGAAAUCACCCCUUUCUCAAGAGGUAACACUCUUGUUGAAGAACGACGGAAGGACAAGCCUUUGUGGCAAGUCGUUCCUAGUGUGGGCACCUCAACAACGUGGAGUAAGUGCAGCCUUGUGUGGCGACCACUGAACCACGGGGUAAAUCUUUGUCUGCUAUUUAUGUUCUUAUUUACUUGUGUUCUUGAGUUGUUCUAGGGUUUGAGCUCGAUCUACUAUGCAACAUAUCUUCUGCAGGUUUGUGUGUUGGUUCUAGUGCUUACUAACUUGCAGGGAGCUGGGAAAUUUAUCUGAUCUAAGUUUCCCAAAGUCUUUCUUGUUUAGUUCUUUAGCUUUCUAUUAAGAGGCCGGCAGUGCCGCCCUGUCGUGUGAAUCUGAAAGCAAGUGAAGUUUUUUAGUUGACAGGCCUAUUCACCCCCUCUAGGCCAUCCUAGACUGCCAGAGAUCCUACAGUAAUGGUGAUAGGCCAAGGCCUACUUUUAUUAGUGCUAAGUUUGAUUCUGAGUGUAAGCAAUAGUUAACCGAUUUAUUAAAGGAAUAUAAAGAUUGCUUUGCUUGGGAUUAUACCGAGAUGCCUGGUUUAGACCGAUCUAUUGCUGAACAUCGGUUGCCUAUCAAGUCUGGGUUUCAGCCGCAUCAGCAGCCAGCGCGCUGAUGCAAUCCUAAUAUUCUUCCUGAUAUUAAGGCCGAAAUAACUAAACUUAUUGAAGCUAAAUUUAUUCGGCAAUGUCGAUAUGCCGAAUGGAUUUCCAAUGUUGUUUCAGUGUAUAAGAAGAAUGGAAAACUUUGUGUCUUUAUUGAUUUUAGGAAUCUCAAUAAAGCCACGCCGAUGGAUGGUUAUCCGAUGCCAGUUGCCGAUCUAUUAGUUGAUGCUGCGGCCGGGCAUCGGAUUAUUAGCUUUAUGGAUGGUAAUGCAGGUUACAAUCAGAUAUUCAUGGCUGAAGAAGAUAUUCCCAAGAGUGCAUUUAGAUGUUCGGGUCAUGUUGGAUUGUUUGAAUGGAUAGUCAUGACCUUCGGCUUGAAAAAUGCUGGUGCUACUUAUGAGAGGGCUAUGAAUUUUAUUUUCCACGAGUUCAUCGACAAGAUAGUUGAGAUCUAUAUUGAUGACGUGGUGGUUAAGUCUGGGGAUUUUGCAAAGCAUCUUGCCGAUCUACGAAAAGUGCUGGAGUGCACAAGGAAGCAUGGUUUAAAAAUGAAUCCUAAUAAAUGUGCGUUUGGUGUAUCGGCAAGACAAUUUCUUAGUUUCAUGGUGCAUCAAAGAGGGAUUGAAAUUAGUAGGAGAUCUAUUGAUGCUAUCAACAAGAUAGUUGCUCCCACCAAUAAGGCUAAACUUCAAUCACUGAUCAGCAAGAUAAAUUUCAUCAGACGAUUUAUAUCUAAUUUGUCUGGUAAAAUUCGUUCUUUUAGUCCUUUACUUAAGUUGAAGGCCGAUGAGGAAUUUGUAUGGGGAGAAGAGCAACAGUUAGCCUUAGACGAGAUCAAGAAUUAUUUGUCAAAUCCUCCAGUUUUGGUUCCACCACAGCAAGGGAAACCCUUCAGGUUAUUUAUCUACCGAUGGCGCGGUCAUUGGUUCACCCCUCAUUCAAGAAUUUGAAGGGAAGGAACGUGUGAUUUAUUAUCUAAGUAGGAGAUUGGUGGAUGCUGAGACAAUGUAUUCGGCAAUUGAGAAAUUGUGUUUAUGUGUAUACUUCUCCUGUGUCAAAUUAAGACAUUACUUGCCAUCGGCCGAAUGCACUAUUAUAUACAAAGAAGAUGUGGUCCGGUACAUGCUAUCUAUGCCGAUUAUGAGCGGUAGAAUCUGCAAAUGGAUUGUGGCGUUGCCGGAAUUUGAUUUACGUUAUGAAUCGGUUAAGGCAGUUAAAUGGCAGAUUAUGGCUGAUUUUGUAACUCAACAUUGUGGUGUAGUGAAUGCCUUGGAAAUUGUUCCUUGGACACUCUUCUUUGAUGGAUCAACAUGUGACCGGGGGGCAAGAGUUGGCAUAGUACUAAUUUCUCCUCAAGGAAAGAAGUAUGAGUUUUCUUUGCCGAUUGUUGCCACGUCGACAAAUAAUCAAGCUGAGUACCAAGCUCUAAUCAAGGGGUUGGAAUUGUUGAAGGAGGUUCAUGCCGAUGCUGUUGAGAUCUUCGGCGAUUCUAUGCUUGUUAUAAAUCAAUUGGCUGGAAUUUAUGAAUGCCGAAGUGAAGUUUUGAUAACCUAUUAUGAAAAGAGCAUACAACUGUUGAGGAAAUUCAAGGAUUUCCGAUUGGAGUAUGCCUCAAUUGCAUAAUGAAGAGGCUAAUCGGUUGGCUCAACAAGCCUUGGGAUAAUAACCCAUCUCAAAUAUGUUAUCGACAGUCAGUGCCGAUGAUAGGAGAAAAGAAAUUAUUGACUAUUUAAAAGAUCCAGCUAAAAAGGUUGAAAGGCGUGUCAGGUUUCAAGCUACCAAGUAUGUACUCCUUGGAGAAGAGUUAUAUUAUCGAACAUUAGAUGGAAUUUUGCUUAAAUGUUUGAGUAAUGAUGAGGCUAGAAGCUUGAUUGGUAAGAUCCAUGAAGGAGUGUGUGGAGCACAUCAGUCGGCUUAUAAGAUGAAGUGGAUGAUUAGGAGAAACGGAUAUUAUUGGCUGACUAUACUUGAGGAUUGCUUUAAUUAUUUCAAAGGAUGUCAAGGAUGUCAGAAGUUUGGCAAUAUUCAAAGGGCACCCGCAUGGGCCAUGAAUCCUAUUAUUAAGCCUUGGUCGUUCCGGGGAUGGGCUAUUGAUCUAAUCGGCCAGAUUUAUCCGCCAUCAAGUAAAGGGCGUAAGUUCAUCUUAGUUGCUACUGACUAUUUUACUAAAUGGGUUGAAGCUAUUCCUUUGAAGAAAGUGACAUCGGCUAACACGAUUGAUUUUGUAAAGGAGCACAUUGUUUACUGAUUUGGUAUUCCUCAAACAAUAACUACCGAUCAGGGUACCAUGUUCACAUCGGGAGAGUUUGAUGAAUUUGCAAUCGGUAUGGGGAUUAAAGUGUUGAAUUCUUAUCCUUAUUAUGCUCAAGCCAAUGGACAUGCCGAAGCAUCUAACAAAGGGAUUAUUAAGCGUCUAACGUUGUUAAAUGAAGCUUUGUGGUCAUAUCAGAUGGCAUGUCAUGGAUCAACUAAAGUUUCACCUUAUCAGUUGGUGUAUGGGCACGAUGUGGUGUUGCCAUGGGAGAUUAAGACUGGAUCUAGGCGGGUCUCUUUUCAAGAUCAAUUGGCUACUGAUGACUAUGCAACUUUUAUGAAAGAUGAAUUGGAUGAUUUGGCAGAGCAUCGGUUGAGAGCUUUGAUGAGUAUAGAAGAGAAUAAAAAGAGAGUUGCUAGAUGGUAUGAUAAAAAAGUAAAAGCUAAGGGGUUUGCCGCUGGAGAUUUGGUAUGGAAAUUAAUUUUACCGAUUGGGACUAAAAGUUCAAAGUUUGGAAAAUGGUCUCCUAAUUGGGAAGGUCCUUACUGGAUAACUCAGUCUGCUCCUGGUAAUGCUUAUAUUUUAGAAACUCUCGAAGGAGUUGAAUUUCCCAGAGUGUUAAAUGGAAAAUAUCUAAAGAAAUAUUACCCAAGCAUCUAGGUUGAUGCAUAGAAGUUUAAGUGCCGACAACACUCCUAUCGGCUGGACGAAAGGUAUCUGAGAUCGUGAUGUUUUAAGAAGUGCCGAUAACAGUCCUAUCGGCUAGACCAGAGUGAUCAAAAGUUUCUAAGGGCAGAACGAAACAAGUUGAUGAAGAGCUCACAGAUUUAGCAGAGCUUGGAUAGUGGGUAUGGUGCACAGACGGAUCUGGUUGGCUUCUUCUAUCUCCCAGAUAUCCUCAUCGGCAGAACCUUCUACUGGCUUCAGUUUCUUCUUCAUCUGCAGUGCUGUACGGGCUUCGAUGUUUCGUUCUUGUUGGAAAAUCUUGAGCUUCUCAUGUAGCUGGCUUUCUUCUUGUUGAGCUUGGGUCAGGGCCUAUUCUACUUGCUUGAGCUCAACUAGUAAGGCUUCCCUUCUUGCCGAUAAGACAGAGAUCUUCUGCUUUUGCUCAUCCCUGGAGGACUGCAGAAUCACUACAAGAAAUACCCUUAUACAUGACAUUUUAUUUUCGUCAUAGACAAGCGAAAACGCGUCACACUUAACUCACCAUGACGAUUGCAAAAACCGUCAUGUAUCCCACGUCAUACAUUUACUAGACUAAGAUAAGCCAUCAUAGAUUUGUAUUUGUGAUCAUCAUGAAAUCCCUAAAAGCCCAUGCAGCCCAGGCUAGGCCCGCUAGGGUGUGAUGAAAUAGACCGUCAUAACCAUCUGCCAUGUAGAAUGUUUUUCGUCACUGAUUUGAGUUGCCAUGUAAGCGCCAUUUGUUCACCAAAAUUGACCAUCACAAAUUAUAUAAUGAAAAUCACAUAAAGCCCAAUGAUUUGAUUAAGUCAUAGUACAUUAACACAACAUGUUCUGAUCAUCAUAAAACUUAAGGAAACACAAAAAUAUGUCAUUGUCAACCUUCACAUCUAUUACAAUAGCAUUAUGGACACCCUACUCAUAAGCUUGAAUAUUUUUUCUGUAUAGUGGCACUCCUUCAAAAGAUCCAUUGCACUAGGUUCCUAGUCUUUAUACUUGUCUCCCUGAAAAUACACAUGUGCACAGAUUAACUCAAAUGUAUGCAAAGUAAAUCGUAGGCAAGGAACAAGGCGUCUAAGUCAUGUACAAUAAGAAUGGAAAAGGAACAACCAUAUAUUCAACUGUGCUAAACAAUGACCUAUACAAUUCCAUAUGCCAUGGGCAUAUCCUAGUUUUAAGUUCAAUGAUAACAAAUAUUUCAGACAUAUAUGUCUAUAUCACUUAAUAUAACUCAGCCUAGUGCUAAACAAAACUAGAUAGUGAAUCUACCAGCUUAUGUUCAUCACAGGCUUUCUAAAACACAGAUAGUGAAUCUACUAAAAGGAUUAAUCCAGGAAACUGAAAAUCACCAUUUCAAACAGAGUAUAUUAUAAUAGCAUUCUGGACAGUCGAACACUCCUUCAAAAAUCCAUUGCAUCAGGUUCCUAGUCUUUCUACUUGUCUCCCUGAAAAUUACGCAUAUGCAGGCAAAUUGCAUUGAGUGUAUGAGCAGAGAAAGAGGAUUUUUCUAUUUAACACUACAUCAUUAGACUACUGCAAUUUAGAAACUUUUAUAGAUUCAAUGACUGUGUUUUAGACUAGUUUGGGAAAGGAUUCCAUUCCUAUAUUUUAGACUAGUUGCGGCUCUAAAUUGCUGACAACCACAAUGACAAUAUGUGCAAGUUACCGACAUUGCAAAACUGAGUGAUCCUCUAUUUGACAGUCACUAUUUAUUUGUUCCAAGUUUUCAGAUAUGUUCAACGUAAUUUAGAACUAAUUUAGCUAAGAACAGAGACAGAAUCCAACCAUGGUGUUAAGAUUGUCAAGUUUCUGGAUUGCCUCCUGAAUAUUACUCGACCAUACUGCCCUCUUAAUCUCCAUUCGUUCCAUUAUGGUUGCUACGUCAAUCUCUGCUGCAAAAAAAAAAAAUCCACAAAUCCACAAAGAGUUCAACAGCAGAGGAUAGAAAGGGCUACCUCCUAGAUCCGCAUCUGGUGGAGGGGGCAUAGCUCAAGCUCCAUAACCAGGGGCUGGGAGGCACCAUCGCAGAGGGGUAAAGGCCCGAGCUUCUCAUCUGAUGGAGCGAAGAUGGAUGGGGAGCCGCUAUGGAGCUUGAGCUAUGCAACCGGAGUGGGACCGAAGCGCCGCAUCUGGUGGAGGAGAAGGAUCUUGAGCUCUACAGCCAAAGGAGACGGGAGUUGCCAUUGCCGGAGGGGGCCGCCGCUGGAGGCCUCCAGAUGCCGCAUCUGUGGUGGAGGGAAGCUAGAGGGUGCGGCAGUGGUGGUGGCCGCGCCAAUGUGCUGAUGAGAGAGAGCCCGAACUAGGAAACCCUAACUCCCUAAGUUGUUGUAUAUAUACUCGAUACAUAUAAUGGGCCGGUUGUGGAUGUCCAAACGAGCCCAUAGAUGAUCCAUGAUGUUUUCUACAUACGUCACCCAAAAACCAUCAUGUAAAGGCAAAUUUUUUGUAGUGAAUGCCGAUGCUCUUGUGCUUCUCAUCGACAAUACACGUUACUUGCAUCACUUCUUCUGUGAGUUGGGCGUUAGCGGCUCUAUCGGCAAGACGCUGAGUAGCCUUCUAGUAUUGGAGCUGGCGACUCUCCAAGUGUGCAGCCUGAAAUAGAGUUUCUUCUACAUCAGCUGGGAUCUGGCCUCGAAGGGUCUUAAACAAAGCUUUGGCUGAGUUAGAAUCAUCGACAGUUGAGCGGUAUCUUGAUGUAGCAGAGCCAACAGGUCCUCCAGUUUAGCUUUGAUUUCUGCUGAUGAGAUCCCCACUGCUUGAGAAGAGCUUGCUUCUUCACCCUCAUCGUCGGAUAUGUCGAUGGCAAAGGAGAAUAAGCUGUCUGGAGAAUCCUGUUCCUGAGAAGGGAAUAGAGAUAAGAUAUUUGAUAAUCAAAUGCUGAUAAUAAAGGCUGGAGAUCAGAAACUUACUUGCUUCAGAGCAAUUUCGCGCCUUUGAUAAGGGGACGCGGCCUGUACUAUAGGUUGAUCGGCUGGAGUUGCCGAUGGAACAAUGUCAGCUGAGAAAUUACAAGAAUAAUUAUAAUUUGUAAAGAUAAAUCCAUCGGUGAUAAUUCUAUGGUCAGUACUUUACCUUGAGGAGGUGCAAUGCUUGUUUGCUCUGGCGGAACAACCGAUGAUAUGAUCAGAUCAACUGUAUCGAUAGUUUGCUCAUGUACUUCGGCUGGUGCUUCUUGUGGCUGAGGUGCUGGUUGAGGAGGGGACGAAACUUGCUGUGUGUGGAUUUCUAGUGAAGAAGGUGAUGAUUCUACAUGUAUCGGUGACACUAGCUGAGGAGGAGGAGAUGGUGCUGUCCUCUGGCGCUUUGACUGUUACUUGGUGCUCUUGGGGCCUUUUCUCUUUACUUGGCUAGGCUGGGGGGCAUCAGCACUGUUGGGUAUUCUUAACUUCAUUACUAAAAGUAGACUAAGUUCUCUAAAUCUAGUAACGGUGCCAAAAAUGCCAAACCUAUCCCUCACACCACUUAAGCCAAGUUGUCAUCCCCAGCAUGACAUGAGAGACGCGCUAUUGAAAUAUGCAAUUGCUCUUCUAAAUAAAUAAUGAAUGGGAUCUGCAAGCGCACAGAUUAAUACCGAUGCAGCAUUUUAACCGGGAAGUAUUCCAGGUAUCGUUAUUUAUAUUUUUACCACUGGGAAGGGAUUAGAAAUCAUCACUAAUGAUUACAGAAUAGAAUAUGAGAUUGAGCAUCUAUCAUUGCAUGUAUAAUUGAGAACAUUAUAUCUAACUCUUCAUACAGCGAUAAGUGUCACAUAAAAGAUAUAUGAAGUAAUAAUAGUGACAAGGAUAACUAAUCUGAUCUAGCCACAUAAUAAAUAUGAUAAGCACCUCAAUUAGAUACUCUAGAAAGUCAUUAGCAUGGUAUUAGAACGAACUACAAGAAUAUUCCCUAAGUUAUUCUUAACUAUAUAGUCUAGCAUUAUCAUAGUUAGUGCAAGCAUACUUAGCAAUCAUUGCGAGACAAGCCUACGCCCAUGCAUAGUGAUAUUAGCAAGGAAUAUGAGAAACAUAGCAAUCACUCCCCUGUAAUAAUGUUGCUCUGCCAGCCCAAUACACGAGAGGGGGACUAUAUAAGAAUCAAUGAAGUUGUCACUAUCACGAACCACCCCACGAUGUGGCAUAUUGGGUACAAUCGCAGAUAAAUACGGUAUAAGCACCACGCCUACACAAUAUCUAUCAUUUACCCAUGGAUCCGAUGGAUAAACGCUAUACGAUCCUAAGCAUGUAUAUAGAUCGUAUCUAACUAAGCCAAGUACAUAACUAUGAUAAACUAAGAACAAUAUAAUCUUGAAUAUAAGCAAGUAGAGCAAAGUCAUAAGCAAUAUAUUGAAGUAGAACAAAGUCAUAUUCAUAAUAUUGAAGAACAAAGAUAAUUAGAAAGCAAUUAGAAGCACAAUUAGAGAAUUACCAAGAAUCCUCCUGACAGAUCCGGAAACCAAUCGAAGAUUGACUCCUUCUAGUUCUAACCUAUGUAGCUAUGCUAUCUAGAUGUCUAAUUGAUGUGGUGGCUCUAAUCUUGAUCAGAGGCUUCUUCUCCCUUGAUGGAACAAUGAAUUAGGGUUGAGAGGCUCUCUCCUCCAGGGGCCAGGGGGUCUGGUUUUAUAGUCCCUUCAAGUGAAUAUGGGCCCUUGGAUCAAACCGACAUAGAUUGUAUGGUUUAGAUUCAUCCUUUAGGUCGGUGGAGAUCUCCCGCAAAGCAGAGUCCUGAUUGGACUCAGGGGCAGGGCGGGCGCCCUGACCAACUGGGCGGCCGCCUAGGGUCUGGCCCCGUUUCGCCUCCGCUUCGGUCUCGUGGCUUCUGGAGUCUUCUAGAUGUAAGAUAAUUGCGCAGCACGUUAAUAUCUUUACGUAAUCCCGACAUGUGGGCCUUUCUUCCAUAUUUCCUGAUAACCCCCUGCAUAAAUAGACAAACACCAGAACUCGUGGAAUUCUGUCAGAUAAAACCCUAAGUCUAGAUCUUGAUUUCAUUUGGAUCCUUUUCUUUAUUUAUUUGAUAAUUGAAUUUGAUACUUAAGGACCGUCAACAAACUCCCCCAAGCUUACCUCUUGCUCGUCCCUGAGCAAAGAUAGACUCAGCUAUGGAUCAUAAGUUGUUGCAAUAUUUUUUUAAAAAUUUGACGGUACACAUGCUUUUAAAUAAGAUCUCAUCUCUGAGUUAGAGUAAACUGUCAAGACUUAAAACUUACUUACUUUACCUACACCAUGGGACUUGUAACUGUCACUUCUAUCUUGAGUGGUUAAAAGAUAGAACACUCUAGCCAAGUGCCAUGUCUCUUAUUCUUGAUCAGCUAUAGCUUUGGGGUUUUUGCAGAUUUUCAAAUAAACCUCAGAAAUUCCUUAUAUGAUUCUCUCAGGUCUCUCUUUUGUGGUAUUUUUGGAUCCUUGCCAAGGCAUUGAUGGUAUAUGCCUUCUCUCAAGAUAUGUAGUAUUUGUGGUAUAAGGCAUAGUGACAUUGCCUUCUCUCUCACCCUACUCUAAUAAGGCUUUAAUAUCUGGAGCUCAUAGGUGGGAGAUAAAAUAUACAUACUUACAAGACAUUUAUUGCAUAGUCAAACCAUGGAUCCAAAGUAACAAGCCAAUAAGAUUAAUCAAGAUGUGCAUGGGUGGCGAAUGAAUGGUGUAUGGUGGUGAUGGUGAUAACAAUGGUGAAAACAAUGGUGGUGGAAGUCUAAUUCUACUUUGCUCUUUGAGGGAAUACAUACCUUCCUUGCUAUUGAAACUUUAUGAGGUGAAUGAGAUGCUCUUCUUUUUUUUCAGGUGGGUAUCUUGCACCCCUAAUUCUACUGUCGGACACUUGUCCAUUUUUACCUUUCGUCUCACUUUUUCUUUUCUUUCGAGGUUCCGAGCACUUGCUCCUUUUUAUUUCCUCGUAUAUUUUUUUUUAUUUUUUUUAGAGCACUCAUCUCUUGAGAUAAUAUAGCAAGUGGUAGUAACAAGAUAACUUGAGCAUUUAUUUCACAAGGGGAAAAUAGAAAUAUUUUUGGUUAUUCUCUCCCGGAUUAGGAGUAGAAUAUUUUUGGGUGAUUCUGGAGAUGGAAUGGGUGGAUAUAUGUGGAUGGUACUUCCGGAGUAGAAGUAGCAUAUAUGAGUGAACGUGUAAGUGAAUCUUGAUUUAACCACAUGACAAGCUCCUAAGGUUCUACACAGCUUGACCACACUCAAUGCUCAUAAGCAGUAAAUAUUAAAUGUGUGGCUCAAAGUCUAGCAAGCAUGUAUAAAUGGCUGUGGUAGGAAUUUAAACUCUCAUCAUACAGGAACUCAUCAUGCAACAUUUUAAAGAUUUUCAAAGAUAAAAUUCUCCAGAAUUCUAGCAUCUCUAGGAACAGAUAAACAGCAGCUCAACCUUCCCAUAUCAUAUCCGUUAACAACUUAUACUUCAGAUCAAGUUUUCAUCCCACAAGUUUAGGUCUAGAGCAAGCUUUAAAUUAUAACAGUUAUAUCUAAACUUGAGAGAGAACUUAAAAUUUGCAAAUUAGGCAGAGCAACUAUUCAUCAUAUCCAUGCUUAAGUUUUAUUUAGAUACAGAUUAGCAUAGACACUUUAUUUAUUUAUUAAACACACUAAGUAAAAGACAUAUAUAAGCAUAAAAUUUUUAUUUGGUUUUCCCAUAGUUUAUGUGUAUUUUAAUAUUCUAAAAUAAUAUAAGUAUAAAGAUAGAUAGAUAGAAAUACUUAUCGUGAUAAAUGGGGGUGCUCUCCCCCAAGCUGAAUUUUGACGUAAUUUCUCUUGAUGUAGCUAGCAGGUGGCAGAGGUGUAGUUGAAAGUCAGCAGCAUUCUGACAGCGAUUAGAAUGUCCUCCGUCUGCCAGUCUUCUUGAUUUCUGUGGAGCUCAAAUAGACAACAAAGCUUGUGGAACUGAUUAAGUGUUAGCAUAAAUAUCUAGCCUUUAUUAUCUUGAGACUCCUUAAUAAAUGUUACUCCCUGUUUUUAUAUUUUUGUUUUAUAAAGCAGAAAAAUAUUUAUUUUAUUUUUAUGCCACCACAGUGAAUGUACUUAUGGGUUUUAUGCCACUCGUCUACUCACAUAGGGCUUACUGUUUUUUCAUAUUUUUAUUUUCUUUUUAAGAUAGUGUGAAUAUGAUUAACUAAGUAAACUAUUUGAAAUAACUGAAAGGGAAAGGAUAACUACCAAGUUUACCUCUUGGCAAGGCGUUCGGUGUUUUUAAGUCCUCCGAAUGGGACUCUCCAAUUUCUUAAUUGUCCUGAGGUUCGUUGGGUGGCGUAGUCGGUACUUCCGGCAGCGCCUCCUCUUCUUGUAUAGUUAUCUUCAUUUUCCAUACCUGACUCGGUGCUUCGAUCUCCUCUGGAUAAUUCUGUUUAAAUUCAACGUCUUCUGACCUUACAACUUCUCCUUCAUAGUCUGCCCAUCCGUCCUUGAUGAUCUGCCUCCUCUGGUUGCGGUUGCGUCUUUUUCUGACCUGCUUAGAUUCUUCAAUGAUAUAGUCAGGGUCAAUAAAAUAACGGCGUACCUUCUCUGAGGGGAAGUGCAUAUGGACUUCUCCGGUUCCAAUGUAGAUAAUUGCUUUAACGGUGCUGAGGAAGGGUCUUCCAAGGAUGAUGGGUGGAUCAUACUCAUCUUCUCCCAUGUCAACAACUUGAAAGUCUGUGUAGACAAAGUGAUCGUCUAUUUUGACUGGGACAUCAGAUACUAUUCCUUUAACUUCUCGAAAUGUCUGAUCUGCCAUCUGGAGCUGAAUGUAUGUUGGUCUUAGUGGCAUGGUCCCGAACAAGAGCCGAUAAGUGACUGCGGCCAUUAUGUUGACGCCCGAUCCGGUGUCGCAAAUCGUCUUGUAGAAGUUGUAUCCAUUUAUGGAGCAGUAGAUGCUUGGCAUUCCUGGGUCGUCCUUCUUGGUCAAAAAUGGUGACUUAAGUUGAUGAUCUUGGCCUCCAUGGACUACAGUGACCAUCUUAGCUGACUCGGUCCACACUUGCUUGUUCCUGUUCCUCCUGUUGGUCCUCUUCCUUGAUUCACGUCUGGAUUGAUCUUGAAUUUGUGUAGUCUUGUUCUUGAAGAAAAAUGUCUCCUUCUUCCCUUUGACGUAGAAACUGAUCUUGGCAGCACCAGCGUAGAUGAUAGCUCCCAUGGUGUUCAAGAAUGGCCUCCCUAGGAUGAUAGGUGCUCUCUCAUCAUUUCCGGUCUCUACCACUACGAAGUCUGCUGGGGCAUACAAGGUACCAACUCGGACACAAAGGUUCCUCACUAUUCCGUUUGGAAAAGUUAUCGUCUGAUCUGCAAACUGCAAACACAUGGUUGUCUCUAAUAAACGAUAUGUAAAGAAUUUCUCAUAGAGUACCCUGGGUAUAAUGUUGACACUGGAGCCAAAGUCGCAGAGUGCUUCUGGGACAUCCACCAUGCCGAUAGAGAUCGGGACGACGGGGCGUCCUGGAUCGCCUCUCUUGACCGGCAGACGGUCAGUAGAAAAUUCAGUGACGGGGUUACUCCAAUUACCUGCAUCAAACAUGUCUACAAGAUUUGCAGAUUCUAAUCCUUCCGGUUGUGAUGGUAUACCGGGGUUAGUAGCAGGAACAGCAGCAGCAAUUUGAUUUAACUGAGAUUCAAUCAUUUUAUUAAAGCUAAUUUGAUUCUUGAUGGCAGUAGAGAAAUUAUCCAUUCUAUUAUUUAUAUUUUCUAGCAUUUUAUCAUUAGAUGCCAAUUUCUUAGAUAGGUUAUCCAUUAGCUUUCCUUGAUUAGACACUAACUCUCUCAAAGGUGGAAAAUUAUUAUUAUUGUUGUAAGAAUUGUUACCUUGAUAAUUACCUGAGUAGUUAGGCCUCUGUUGAUUCCAACCUUGAUUUUGUUGAGGACGGUUGUAGUAGUUGUUGUUGUUGAUGUAGUUCACAUCCUCAAGCAUCUCAGGGCAGUGAUUGCCUGAGUGUCCAGUGUCUCCACACUCCUCACAAGUCAUGUGAGAGUCGUAGAUGUGCAUAACUUCUUUCUUGCCUCCAGCUCUAUCAUCGAGCUUCUUCAUGAGCAGGUCUAGCUUUGCAGACAGCAUGUCUACCUCCUUCAGCUGAUGCAUACCUCCACCUCUCUUGCGUGUCUGGCUCCUCUCUUCAUUCCAGCUUUGGUUGGACGCCAUCUUCUCCACAAGAGCUGUGGCUUGUGGUAUAGUAAGUGAUAAGAAUGCUCCUCCAGCUGCAGCAUCCAUGGUCUCUCGGGCACUGUUGCCGAGCCCAUGAUAAAACGUCUGCAUCAAUAGCCAACUCUCCAUUCCAUGAUGGGGACAUUCUAGGAUGUAGUCUUGAAAGCGCUCCCAUGCUUCUGGAACAGAUUCAUCAUUUUGUUGAUGAAAACUUGUAAUCUUCCCACGGAGAGCAUUGGUCUUGCCCAUGGGAAAGAACUUAGCCAGGAAGUUUGUUGAGCAGAGUGCCCACGUAGUAUUCUUCUCCUUUGUAGCGUAGAACCACUGCUUCGCUCUUCCUAACAGUGAGAAUGGGAAGAGGCGAAGUAGUAUAGCAUCUUUGGAAACUCCUGCUAUGGUGAAUGUGUUGCAAAUCUCCAGGAAGUGUUGUAAAUGAGCACUAGCAUCUUCGUGUGCCUUCCCACAGAACUGGUUGGAUUGCACCAUGUUAAUAAGUCCAGGCUUGAGCUCAAAGUUGUCGUCGAUCUCUGCAGCAGGUCCAGUGCGGAUGUUGUCCGUAGUGGGAGCUGAGAACUCGCGGAUCGAUUUGUUCGCCAUGGCUUCGAACUCUGAAGACAAGUUCCGGUGAUCUUCUUGAUUGGAUGAAGCUUCUUGCUGAAGUGUUGAUGAUUUCUUUAGCUUGGCUCUCGUCUUCUUGAAUAAUGCUUCGGGAUUGUCAACAAAAUUUCCUGGAAGAUGUCUUCUAUUCAUACAUUCCCCUACAUAAGAUAAAAUAGAAAAAUAUCGGGGUAAAACUGUAUGAGAGAAUAGAUAAGCUCAAUCAUAUUAGUGAUGCGAAUGAUAACUCAAAAUGUUUUAUUCCAUUCCUGAUUAGUAAUCAACCUUCCCCGGCAAUGGCGCCAAAAAAUGCUUGUUGGGUAUUCUUAACAUCAUUACUAAAAGUAGACUAAGUUCUCUAAAUCUAGUAACGGUGCCAAAAAUGCCAAACCUAUCCCUCACACCACUUAAGCCAAGUUGUCAUCCCCAGCAUGACAUGAGAGAUGCAGUAUUGAAAUAUGCAAUUGCUCUUCUAAAUAAAUAAUGAAUGGGAUCUGCAAGCGCAUAGAUUAAUACCGAUGCAGCAUUUUAACCGGGAAGUAUUCCAGGUAUCGUUAUUUAUAUUUUUACCACUGGGAAGGGAUUAGAAAUCAUCACUAAUGAUUACAGAAUAGAAUAUGAGAUUGAGCAUCUAUCAUUGCAUGUAUAAUUGAGAACAUUAUAUCUAACUCUUCAUACAGGGAUAAGUGUCACAUAAAAGAUAUAUGAAGUAAUGAUAGUGACAAGGAUAACUAAUCUGAUCUAGCCACAUAAUAAAUAUGAUAAGCACCUCAAUUAGAUACUCUAGAAAGUCAUUAGCAUGGUAUUAGAACAAACUACAAGAAUAUUCCCUAAGUUAUUCUUAACUAUAUAGUCUAGCAUUAUCAUAGUUAGUGCAAGCAUACUUAGCAAUCAUUGCGAGACAAGACUACGCCCAUGCAUAGUGAUAUUAGCAAGGAAUAUGAGAAACAUAGCAAUCACUCCCCUGUAAUAAUGUUGCUCUGCCAGCCCAAUACACGAGAGGGGAACUAUAUAAGAAUCAAUGAAGCUGUUACUAUCACGAACCACCCCACGAUCUGGCAUAUUGGGUACAAUCGCAGAUAAAUACGGUAUAAGCACCACGCCUACACAAUAUCUAUCAUUUACCCAUGGAUCCGAUGGAUAAACGCUAUACGAUCCUAAGCAUGUAUAUAGAUCGUAUCUAACUAAGCCAAGUACAUAACUAUGAUAAACUAAGAACAAUAUAUCUUGAAUAUAAGCAAGUAGAGCAAAGUCAUAAGCAAUAUAUUGAAGUAGAACAAAGUCAUAUUCAUAAUAUUGAAGAACAAAGAUAAUUAGAAAGCAAUUAGAAGCACAAUUAGAGAAUUACCAAGAAUCCUCCUGACAGAUCCGGAAACCAAUCGAAGAUUGACUCCUUCUAGUUCUAAUCCUAUGUAGCUAUGCUAAUCUAGAUGUCUAAUUGAUGUGGUGGCUCUAAUCUUGAUCAGAGGCUUCGUCUCCCUUGAUGGAACAAUGAAUUAGGGUUGAGAGGCUCUCUCCUUCAGGGGCCAGGGGGUCUGGUUUUAUAGUCCCUUCAAGUGAAUAUGGGCCCUUGGAUCAAACCGACAUAGAUUGUAUGGUUUAGAUUCAUCCUUUAGGUCGGUGGAGAUCUCCCGCAAAGCAGAGUCCUGAUUGGACUCAGGGGCAGGGCGGGCGCCCUGACCAACUGGGCGGCCGCCCAGGGUCUGGCCCCGUUUCGCCUCCGCUUCGGUCUCGUGGCUUCUGGAGUCUUCUAGAUGUAAGAUAAUUGCGCAGCACGUUAAUAUCUUUACGUAAUCCCGACAUGUGGGCCUUUCUUCCAUAUUUCCUGAUAACCCCCUACAGAAAUAGACAAACACCAAAACUCGUGGAAUUCUGUCAGAUAAAACCCUAAGUCUAGAUCUUGAUUUUAUUUGGAUCCUUUUCUUUAUUUAUUUGAUAAUUAAAUUUGAUACUUAAGGACCGUCAACAAGCACUUGUUUGAGCCCUUCUAGUCUUUGCCGAUUUGCCAGUUUGCUGUUACAACAACCAAGAUUUCAUGAGUAAAAGUAUGAAAGAAUGUUGAUGAAAUCUUGUUAAAAGAUAAAGGUUACCGAUGAGGUUCCCAUAGCAACCGAUGUAUCCUGAAAAGAUUAUGUGAGUAUGGGAUAGAAUCGGUAUAAACAAAGGAAAUCAAAAGUCUACCUUGAAAGCCUGCGCCAGGGUAGUAGCAGCAACUGAUGGGGACGUCUUUGACCGCUUGGUGGUUAUCUUCUUGAAGCGCACAUUCCGAUGAAUCAAAGCUGCCGGACUUGGUGCAUUGUGACCGAUCAGUUCGAUCGGUCUUCCACUUCUACAGACUGUCGGUGGUGGGUUGUCGAUUUGUUUGAAAAAGGGAGAAUAAGUUACCGAUAAGGUUAGAAGUAACAACAGAACUGAGAUGUCAGUCAAAAACUUACAGUGUUAUCGGGAACCUUAUAGUUGGAGCCGAUCAUGCCACGGUAUGUCAGAGCCGAUGCGCAGAACAGGUGUUCUUUCCAUUCUUCCCACCACUGUUUGUGCGCCUGAGUGAUCAAGAGGGCCGAGAUCCAAGCCGAUAGAUCGAUAUCUGACGUAUCGGCAUUUGGUUGAAGCUGAGCUAUCCUUAUCCACUCGAGCCCAUUAGUUAUAGUCUCCCUGGGUUUCACCACAUCGGCGUAACAGACUCUGAUCACCAGCUACCCAAAUGCCAGUUGAUGAGCUAAUGCCGAUGGAUUGUAAAACUCGUAAGUGGGGUUAGAGUUUUUCCCACUACCAAAGGUGUUUACUGGGAUAGCCCUCGAAGUGAUGAUUGCCAUCAUCAGAUCAUUAUCUUUAUUAGGAGCAUCAUCAAAGGGAUGGAAGAUGAGCGGAAAUCUGGUUUCUGGGUCUUCAUAAGGCAUCCAUACACGUUAAUCUUUGGGAAGACCCUAAUACAGAGUCUGGAAGAAUCAGCUGACCUGGUCUUCAUUACCACCAGUACCAGGUAGCUCUAUGGCGGCCUCACCGUAAUUCCAGGUGAGCGAGUUGCCGAUUCUUCGUCAGCCAGUUCAUGGUCUUCGGUGAUAUCUCUAUGGAAUUGUUGUGCAAAGAGGUCGAAGCAGAGACGUUUGUGCAUGUGGACGUUAAGCCACAUGUUGAUGAACCACCAAGGGCCUCCUAGGUUGCCGAUGGGUUGGCCUAAUAGGAGCUUCUCAGCCACUUGAUGGAGGAGGUGGUAGGCAGAACCAAGGAAGUAUCGACCGAGAGGAAAUCGGCUGCCAUCAGCCAGUCUUUCUGCUGCCAAUAAGUAGACAGAGGUUGGUCCUACCAAUCGGCCACAGAAGACGAACUUGUCUAACCACAUGUUUAGGAAAACUACAUGUUCUCUUUGACCGACUGGUCCCGUCCUCUGGUACUUCUGGAUGUACCCUGACCAACCGCCGAUGUUGAGGGUUUCUACUUUGCACUCGGGUUUGCUGUCGUAUAGAUGGCUAUCAUCAGCAGAUGAUAUGUCUAAGCCAGUGAGCAUGAGCACAUCGGCAAGAGUGGGGGAAGCAGGGCCAUGACCAAACAGAAAAGCAUUGAAAGUAUCUGACCAGAAGUAUGAAGCAACUAUCAAUAGCGAUUCAUUUCUUUCCAUAUCGGCAAUGGAUAACCUGAUACACUGGUCCAGUUUGUGCUCACCCCAUUGGACUUUGUUUGAGUUGCCAACUAUCAGGAACCAAUCUCUCCAUCCCUUAGUAGAACUGGGCCAAGAUCGGAAGGUAUCUUUCCAUAGAUCUGAGGAGAAAUUUUCAGCUCUAAAGGGGAUUCUAUUUAUCUCUGCGUUGAUCAGAUUGGUAGGAUCCGGGUUACCCAAUGGCCCGAGACAUUGAAAGUGGGGUUGAUCGGUGGGAAUCACAAUUUUAUCAGCGAAUUCCUAAAGGUUUGAAGGUUGGAAGAACAGAAAAAGGAAAAAGAAAGAAAGAACGUACUCAGUAAAUAGAUUUGCGGAAGUUAAAACUACAACAAGUAGACAGGGGAAAUUGACCUCAGGGACGGUGAAGUUCAUAGCCAUUUCUUCCAGGGAGGAAGAAGAUCAAUGAAGGACUGGCUGGGCUUGCUGACGUUCUCGGACUCCUCGAACAAUGCCGCCGUUAGGAAGAUGGGUUUUGAGGAUGCAGAAUGACAAGGUGGAGGAAGAGUGCCGAAGAAGGAAGUAUUUAUAGGAUAAAGAGAGCAGGGGUAUUUCUGACCUAUUCCUUUGCCGUAUCCAUGAAAAUCGAGGGUGUUCAGGUGGAUAUGGUAACUGUUCGCACGAUAAUCAAGGGAUUGUGUAGGUGAUUUGACAGUAAGCGGUCAUAAUUUUGGGAAGAUAUUUUACUGUGCAAGAUCUCCUGGUCGGUUCAUCGACAGUUCUCUCUAACGGAAACAUUGCCGAUGAACGAAUAUUUAGGAGAUUCGGUCUGAGGAGUUGAGAGAUUCGAGGUGCAUGCUGGAGAACCGGGCUAAGGUUGUUCGGAUUUGGUAAUUAAUUAUUGUCAGGUGGGAGUAAUCGCGGAAAGGCAUCAUUACUGAAGAGAAUUUUGGAGCAUUAAUGAUUUUAUACUCCGAAAUUGGGGGGCAUGUGUUGACACCGUUUUUAGACACGUAUCUUUGGACGCGUAUCUGAGAAUUAGUAAAAUAUAGAUCGGCAGGUGAAAGAGUGGUGAGUGUUUGUCAAGGAGGUUACCGAUGGGAAUUGAUGCCGAUAGAUAAAGAGCAGAAUGUGGCCAAGACUAGGGAUGGUGAUUGAUCUAUACCGAUGAUUGAUGCUUGCGAUUGCCGAUGUCGAUGGAAGGUGGUUUGCCGAUUGCCGAUGGCAACAGGGGGAGCGCAGGAGUUGCUGACAAGAUGGUGACGGUGUGUCGAUUGCUUGUAGUGGAUAGAUUAAUGUUUUGCAUAGCUGUUAGAGUUCGUUUUGUGUACGGAUUCCAUUCAAUUUUGAAUUAGAGUCCUAGUCGUGUUUGGUUGUAAUUCUUCUGGGCAGGGUAUAAAUGUAGACCCUGUAGCGGUGUAAUAGAUAUACACAAUCAAUCAAACACAAGUUUUUACAUCUAUCCCAGUAUCUACUUUUUUGAUGACUUCGUCAACUUGCAUAUUUUCUUUUUACUUACGAGUUCUUAGGAAUUCAUCGAGUCAAUCUCGGCGAGUUCUCAAGUUCUGCGUGAAUACCUCUUGGCCGUGACAUUCGGGCGCAUCGCUGUUGUCGGGACCAAAGUAUUCGUGUUAUCACCUUUAUCGAUUGUAAGGUCAAAUCGGCUGGCACGCCUUAACGUUGAAUCGGGUAUUAGCCCUUUGUGUUUGCAGAUCUACUUUUGCAUCAACAGGUCCCUUAUGAAAUGGUGCCUUAUGUCAAUGUGCUUGGUUCUUGAAUGUUGAAACAGAUUUUGUGUCAUCUUAAUUGCACUCUCAUUGUCACAUAGCAAAGGCACAUUCUUGAAUUUUAUUCCAAAGUCAUUCAAGGUAGCUUUCAUCCAAAGCAAUUGUGCACAACAACUACCGGCACUAAUGUAUUCGGCCUCAGCGGCUGAUAGUGCAACACUAUUUUGUUUCUUUGAUGACCAUGAAACUAGAGACAUUCCUAGCAAUUCACAAGUGCCACUUGUGCUCAUUCUAUCAAUCUUGCAUCCACCAUAAUCGGAGUCUAAAUAUCCAAUCAACUCAAAGUUAGACCCCUUGGGAUACUGUUGACACUUGCUAACACCACUUGAAGACUAGGUUGUCAUCCCCAGCAUGGCACCUUGUACUAUGGUAUUUAUACGCACACAGAUAAAUCCGCAAGUGCACGGAUACCGUUGUAGCUUUUACCCAGUUAAAGGUUUUAUCGUAUCCACAGGGAAACGGGAGAACUGAUCUACGCUCUAACUUAACCUAGAUAGAUAGGUAGGUGUAAAUAGGAAAGAUGAUAGGAUUGAAUAAGAACAAUAUUAAAGGUAAGAUAACAGUGAGUAAAUAUAGAGUAGAGCAAUCUAAUAUAUGGGCGAUGGUAGGAGAAUAGAGAGGAUAACUAUGGUUUCUCUACUUCAAAGGGGCAUGUCUUUGUCUGGGAUGUACCACGUGAUAAGAAUACACCACAAAGGAUGCUUAUCCAUAGGCCGAUAAACCCUACCCGUCCUGCUAACAGGAGGUGGACUACAGGGGACCAAUGUAACUAUCACCUACGCGGCCUACCACACGAUCCAGCUAGACAUGGGAUAUCCACAAGUAAUCUCAGGUCUAAGCACCAUGCUUACACCUAUACUACAACUCCACCUAUAGCGUCCUAUAGAUUAAAGUACUCAAAAGAGUUGUGAACCAGAACAUACAUGAAUAGUAAUUGCAUAAUGAAUUAGAAGUAGAUUACUAGAGUCAUCCCAUGAGCAAGCUUGAUUAGAGCUUGAUCAUGACGAAGUACAACUGGAGGAAGAACCGACAGGCCGGCCUCUCCUCCAAUCCUCGCUCGCUCUCCAUCUCGCUACUAUCUAGAUCUACUCUAGUUUAGAGAUGAGAGGAGAGCUCUCAUCUCCAAACCCUAGCUUUUGCUCUGUCUAUGAAUAAUGAAUAGGGAUCAAAGGGUGCCUCCUACAGGGGCCAGGGGGUCUGCUUAUAUAGUCCCCUCAAGUGAAUCUGGGCCGUCGGAUCAAACCAACAUUGAUUGAACGGUUAUCCUUGAUCCUUUCGGUCGGUGGAACGUAAUCCGCGAGAAGGGUACUAUUUGGACUCUGUUGCUGGGAGGGCGCCCAAGGGGGGAGGGCGAGCGCCCUGCCCCUGGGCUCGAUCGUCCUCCCUUUCAUUCCCGUGGCUUCUGGAGUCCUCUAGAUGAUUGAAAAUUGCACGGCACGUUUAUUUCUCUAUAUAAACCCGACAUGUGGGCCUUUCCUCCAUAUUUCCUGAUAACCCCCUGGAGAAAUAGACAAACACCAAAACUUAAGGAAUUCUGUCAGAUAAAACCCUAAGUCUAGUGCUGGUUGCAUUUGGAUCCUUUUCUUUAUUUAUUUGAUGAUUAUAUUUGGUACUUAAGGACCGUCAACAACUCCCCCAAGCUUACCUAUUGCUCGUCCCUGAGCAAGGAUGGACUCAAGAGUUUCUGCAGUGGUUUUAUGCCUUAAAAGGUACACAUGCAUUCAAACAAGAUCUCAUCUCUAGGUUAGGGUAAACUGUUAAGACUUAAAACUUACUCAUUUUACCUUUCACAAUGGGGCUAGCAACCGUCACUUAUGUCUUGAGUAGUUAAAAGAUAGAACGGUCAUGUCAAGCACCAUGUCUCUUGUUCUUUGAUCAACUAUAGCUCUAGAGUUUUUUGCAGAUUUUCAAAUAAAACUCAGAGAUUCCUAUAUGACUCUCUCAAUUCUCUCUUUUAUGGUAUUUCUGGAUCCUUACCAAGGCAGUGAUGAUAUAUGCCUUCUCUUAAAGUAUGUAGUAUUUGUGGCGUGAGGCAUAGUGAUAUUGCCUUCUCUCUCAUCCUACUCUAAUGAGGCUUUGAUAUCUGGAGCUCAUAGGUGGGAGACAGCUAAUACAUACUUACAAGACAUUUAUUGCAUAGUCAAACCAUGGAUCCAGAGAAACAAGUCAAUAAGUCAAAUCAAGAUGUGCAUGUGUGGCGAAUGAAUGGUGUAUGGUGAUGAUGGUGAUAACAAUGGUGAAAGUCUAAUUCUACUUUUGCUCUUUUGAGGGGAUACAUACCUUUCUUGCACUUUGAAGCUUUUUGAGGGGGGAAUGAGAUGCUCUAUAUUUUCUCUUUUUUUUUCUUUUCUCUCAGGUGGGUAUCUUGUACUCCUAAUUCUACUGUCGGACAAUGUCCAUUUUUACCUCUCGUCUCACUUUUUCUUUUCUUCGAGGUUUCGGGCACUUGCCCCUUUUUAUUUCCUCGUAUUCACUUUUUUUUUUCAGAGCACUCACCCUCUUGGAAUAAUGUAGCAAGUGGUAGUAACCAAAAUAUCUUGAGCAUUUAUUUCACGGGGAAUAACAGGGAUAGGAUAAUGUUUUUAGCUAUUCUCUCCUAGAUAGGAGUAAAAUAAUUUUGGGUGAAUCUGGAGAUGGAAAUGAGUGGAUGUAUGUGGAUGCGUACUUCCGGAGUAGAAGUAGCAUGUAUGAGUGAACGUGCAAGUGAAUCUUGAUUUUAACCGCAUGACAUGCUCCUAAUGGUCUACACAACUUGACCACACUCAAUUCUCAUAUGCAGUAAAAAGUAAAUGUAUGGUUCAUAGUCUAGCAAGGAUGUAUAAAUAGCUGUGGUAGGAUUUUAAACUCUCAUCAUACAGGAACUCAUCAUGCAACAUUUUAAAUAUUUUCAAAGAUAAAUUUCUCUAGAUUUCUAGCAUCUCUAGGAACAGAUAAAUAGCAGCUCAACCUUCCCAUAUCGUAUCCGUUAACGACUUAGACUUUAGAUCAAGUACUCUUCCCACAAGUUCAGGUUUAGAGCAAAUCUUAAUUCAUAACAGUCAUGCCUAAAAUUGGGAGAGAUUUCAAUUUUGAGAACUAGACAGAGCAACUAUUCAUCAUUUUCAUGUGAGAGCUUAUCAUGAGGGUUCAUAGCAAACUUUAUUUAUUUAUUUAUUUAGCAAAAUAAGCAAAGAUAUUUAUAUAAGCUCAAAAUCUUUAUUUAGAUUUUUAUGAUUAUGCAUCUUUUUAUUAUUUGAGUAAAGUAUAAAUAUGAGUAGAAACACUUAGCUGGAUAAAUGGGGGUGCUCUCCCCCAAGCUGGAUUUUGACGUAAUUUCUUCUGAUGUAGCUAGCAGGUGACGGAGAUGUAUUUGAAUGUCGGCAGCACCCUAACAGCGAUUAGGAUGUCCUCCGUCUGCUAGUCUUCUUUGAUCCUUGAAUUCUGUGGAGCUCAAAUAGACAACAAAGCUUUGUGGAACUGGUUAAGUGUUAGCAUAAAAUCUCUUUGCCUUUAUCAUGUUGAGCUUCCUCUAAUAAAUAUUACUCUCUUUAGUAGGAUCAUAAAUUUAUUUUUAUAUUUUCAUUUCUAUAGGACAGGAAUAUAUUUAUUUUAUUUUUAGGCCACCACAGUGAAUGUACUUAUGGGUUUUAUGCCACGAGCAUACUCACAUGGGGCUUACUAUUUUUAACAUUUUUAUUUUCUUUUCAAGAUAGUAUGAUUAACUAACAAGCUAUUUAAGGAAAGUCAAUAAUUUAAGGAAAAGGGAAUGCAGAAAGGAUAAAUAUGGAUAACUACCGAUUUUACCUUUCGGCGAGGGUUCAAUGUUUUAAGUCUUCUGAACAAGACUUCUCACCGUGUUCAUUCUUCAGUUGCGUCAUUUGAUUCAGGUGUGGACCUUAACAUCUGCACCUCUUGAUACGGUGUCACCCAUGUUCUUCGUUUGCCCAUUAGUUCGAAGUGCGGCGUUAUGGAUAAUAAUAUCAUGAUUGUAGCAUUUAAAACAUUUGUCAGAUCAGACCGCUCAACCUAAUGGAAAGAUAAUCUAUCUAUUUUUAUGUGUUUUUUAUAUAUCUGCCAAAGAUUGAGUGUGCAACAUUUUAGCUCAUAUGAUUAAGAGUGUGGGAUCACAAACGUAGAAGGACUAAACAUGUUGAAUCGAUUGGGUUGGUUAACCUAGGGUUGUAAAUCGUACAUGUUUGUCAGUUUUAUUCAUAGGAACGCCAGAACCAAGAAGAAGCUUAUAAAAGUGAUAAUCAAGUACCUUAAGAUGUUACCUUACUUGAAGAGUGAUGGUACAGUAUCACCUUGUGGAAGCUUUCCUUUCUUAGCGGUUGUGCAUCAUAUUUGUGGCACCCUCCGUGGAUCAUCUCUUAUGAGCUAUGUUUUCCUUGUGUAAAUUGUUAAACUUGAUGUGUCUCUCUCUUUGUCUCCGAUGUGAGUUUAUCUCAGGACUUCCCAAAUCGAUAUUGAAAGUAUUUCUAUAGGGGUUAGUUCGACAACAUAUACCAAUGUCUACACAAGCAGUUUUUAGUUCAAUAACCGAACUAGACUCCAUGUCUAAUCAGAUUAAGGAAGGCUGUUUAACCUAAGCACCAUGCUUAAUUGAAAAGCCAAUAGAAGUAUGCACAGUACUUCCAAACUAACACUUACGAGGAUAAACAAAGGUAGCAUGAUGGCAUUUAUAAAGAUCUACUCAAGUGGAGAUGAUGUAGUGUGAUUAGUAUUUAACAAAUUGAGCAUGUCUUAAAGGUAGGGACAACCAACAUAGCAACAUGGCAAAGGAUAUUUUUAUGUAAGGUACUCCCCCAAGCUUGAAUUUUGCAAAAUUCAAGUUUGGAUGAAUUUCAUUCAGUGUUGCAUGAUGAUUGGUUGGACAUACCUUGUGCUUGUCAUUCAUCCAAUCUUCUUGCUCCAAUCCUAGAAAGGUUAGUGACAAGAAUACCCGAAGGAAUAUUUUUACAAUUAUUCUUAUAUGCUCAAUACACAAGGUAAUAUUGUAAAUAAUUAAAAGGUCAUGUUACGAUCUGAUCAGUGCUUAUUUUAGGACACUAAGCUUGUCCUUGGGAAACCAUCAAUUUAUGUCGGUGAAGUGGUUUCCCUUCCAACGCUGACCUAUAUCAAGAUCAACUCAACGAGAUCUGCAAUAUUUAUUAUAGACAUAUGCAUCGACAAUUGUCCUUUUAAAGUUUUUGUAAAUAGAAAGAAAGAGUGGGUUGGAUAUCUCAAAUGUGGUGAUGUUGGCGAGACCAAUAGAUUGGAAAGAUGUUGCAUAUGGGCAUGGAGUAAACGAAGUGGCUAUGAAAUAAAUUCCAUGCUCAUUAAUGUUAUCUUCGUCUCCAAUCUGAAUGUUCGGAGUUUCUCCUGGAUUGGUCUCACCUAUGUCCUCUUCUGUAGUUGGAUGAAUCUCAUCUUCAAAGGGAGCCAAGAACUCACCAUUUGAAAUUGAGCCAAAGUCAGAAUCCAUUAAGGGUUCUUCCUUAUCCAUCCAUUCUACACAUUCUAGCCAUUUAGAACUUGUGAUCAGGAAGGGGGAGGUGUUAGAAUUUUCUAUAUGGUUUAGCUCUCCUUCACUUGAUAUGUCAUCCUCAACUUCUUCUUAACAGGAACUAGGACAUUCUCUAAGAGAACCAUUAUUGCAAGGAUUUGAAUUAUCCCUGGUUGAAGGUCUCUUAUGGAACCAGAAGUCUAAUCCAUAAGCAUCUGAAAGAUUUAAGGUCGGAAUUCCUUCCUCCCUUGGAGAAUUUUGGGGUAUUGAUGGUUUAGGAUCGCUAGCUAAAGUUUGGGAUUGCAGUGGUUGUGAUCUGGCUAUCAAAACUUCUUCUUCUUGUCUAGGAACUGGUUCUUUCUCUUUCUCAGGGUUAUAAAAGCUAGGAGACUUUCCGCUCAUUAAAUCAAUCAAAUUCCAAGCAUCACUAGCGGACAGGUGGUGCAAGGAUCCUCCAGAGGCCGCAUGAAGGGUUUGCUUAUUUUUCCUACUAAGGCCCUUAAAAAUUGAAAUAGAAGAACUUGUUCUAGAAUAGAAAGCUUUGGGCCAGUGAGAGUAAGGUCACUAAAGUGGUCCCUUGAUCCGCCAAUAGAUUCUUCUUCUAAUUGUCUAAAAGAAAGAAUCUCGAGCCGAAUAUCUGCCACUUUGGAGAUCAAAAAAUAUUUAAAGAGAAAACUAUUGUAUAGCUCCUUCCAAUCUCCAUGAGCACUUCCUAUGUUUAGUUUAUACCAAUGUCUAGCUUUUCCCGUUAAAGAGAACGGAAAGAGCUUCCAUUUAAGGGUCUCAUCAGACAUGCCUUCAAUGCGAAGGAGGUCACAGACUCGAUAAAACUCUCUUAGGUGUGUGUAUGGGUUUUCCUCACCUUCUCCUGAGAAAGGCUGUUUUUGAAGAAAUUCUAUGUAUUCCGGGCUUAUCUCGAAACUAGAUGUCAUGAUUGGCUUUGAAGAUUUUGGUGGUUCGAGAUGUGUGCCCGUAGGUCUAUUAAAUUCAUAGAUAGACAUGUUUGAAUUCAUGAUAGACCAGAGAUCAAGGAUUAGAUAAGAAGAAAGAAUAGCAGAGAUAAGGCAAAAGAUAAAAGGAAAAGUAUAUAUAUAUUUUUUUAAUUUUUUUAGAAAAUGAUUAAGCUAGUUCGUAGUCAACUCAGCAACCGUCUCCCCAGCAACUGCGCCAAAAAUGCUUGUUGACACUUGCUAACACCACUUGAAUACUAGGUUGUCAUCCCCAGCAUGGCACUAGAGUGUACUAUGGUAUUUAUACGCACACAGAUAAAUCCGCAACCGCACGGAUACUAUUGUAGCUUUUACCCGGUUAAAGGGUUUAUCGUAUCCAUAGGGAAACAGGAGAAUUGAUCUACGCUCUAACUUAACCUAGAUAGAUAGGUAGGUGUAAAUAGGAAAGAUGAUAGGAUUGAAUAAGAACAAUAUUAAAGGUAAGAUAACAGUGAGUAAAUAUAGAGUAGAGCAAUCUAAUAUAUGGGCGAUGGUAGGAGAAUAGAGAGGAUAACUAUGGUUUCUCCACUUCAAAGGGGUAUGUCUAUAUCUGGGACGAACCACGUGAUAAGAAUACACCACAAAGGAUGCUUAUCCAUAGGCCGAUAAACCCUACCCGUCCUGCUAACAGGAGGUGGACUACAGGGGACCAACGUAACUGUCACCUAUGCGGUCUACCACACGAUCCAGCUAGACAGGGGAUAUCCACAAGUAAUCUAGGUCUAAGCACCAUGCUUACACCUAUACUACAACUCUCACCUAUAGCGUCCUAUAGAUUAAAGUACUCAAAAGAGUUGUGAACCAGAACAUAGAUGAAUAGUAAUUGCAUAAUGAAUUAGAAGUAGAUUACCAGAGUCAUCCCAUGAGCAAGCUUGAUUAGAGCUUGAUCAUGACGAAGUACAACCGGAGGAAGAACCGACAGGCCGGCCUCUCCUCCAAUCCUCCCUCGCUCUCCAUCUCGCUACUAUCUAGAUCUACUCUAGUUUAGAGAUGAGAGGAGAGCUCUCAUCUCCAAACCCUAGCUUUUGCUCUGUCUAUGAAUAAUGAAUAGGGAUCAAAGGGUGCCUCCUCCAGGGGCCAGGGGGUCUGCUUAUAUAGUCCCCACAAGUGAAUCUGGGUCGUCGGAUCAAACCGACAUUGAUUGAGCGGUUAUCCUUGAUCCUUUAGGUCGGUGGAACGUAAUCCGCGAGACGGGUCCUAUUUGGACUCUAUAGCUGGGCGGGCGCCCUACCCCUGGGCCCGAUCGUCCUCCCGUUCGUUCCCGUGGCUUCUGGAGUCUUCUAGAUGAUAGAAAAUUGCGCGGCACGUUAAUAUCUCUAUGUAAUCCCGACAUGUAGGCCUUUCCUCCAUAUUUCCUGAUAAUCCCCUGCAGAAAUAGACAAACACCAACACUCGUGGAAUUUUGUCAGAUAAAACACUAAGUCUGGGUGUUGGUUGCAUUUGGAUCCUUUUAUUUAUUUAUUUGAUGAUUAUAUUUGGUACUUAAGGACCGUCAACAGAUACCAUAAUCCAACAUCAUGAGUUCCCUUAAGAUACCUCAAUAUCCUCUUGGUUGCCUUCAAGUGACUCUCCCUUGGUGAAGCUUGAUAUCUUGCACACUUGCAUAGACUAAACAUCACAUCUGGUCUUGAUGCGGUGACAUAGAGCAAACUUCCAAUCAUGGACCAAUAUAGCUUUUGAUCUACCAUGUUGCCACUUGCAUCACUACCUAAUUGAUCAUUUGUGCCCACAGCUGUGUUCAUUGGUUUAGCUUCUUGCAACCCAAAUUUCUUGAUCAUGGCCUUGAUGUACUUUCCUUGACUUAGAGAAGUGUCAUUCUUCAUUUGCUUGAUUUGAAGACUGUCGGUGUCUUCCCCAUGGGGGGUCACACCAACGAGUAAAUUUGUGUGCGUGCUCCCUUUCCCAGAUGGUGAUGCAAGAAGACACAGAGAUUUAUCCUGGUUCGGGCAAGAGAAGGCCCUACGUCCAGCGGGGGGGAGAGGCUUGUAUUAUCUUGCACCUAAGUGCUUGUAUAGGGGUGAAUACAAGCGUGGUAUGAAGUGUGUGAGCCCUACUGCGUAUGUGUGUAGUAUUGCGCGGUGUUCUAUUCCUGAGUCUCUCCUUUUAUAGUUCCAAGGAGUGACUUAGGGUACAUGCGUAGAUGUCAGAGUAGGGGUCGGUAGCAGCAUGGAGCGCUGACCUACUCGAGGCUUCUGUACCGGCAUGACUUCGAGCUGUCCCAUCUUAAUAGCCUGGUGAUGAUUACGCGUGCCCCUGCAUUCUGCUCUGUGCACCGUCUUGUGCUGGCUCAACGGUCGCAUGCUCGUACGGUAGAGCGGCAGAUCCGGCGGGGUAGUUAUGGUGUUAUCAGUCGACGCUCCACACGUCCCUAGGAAGGAACCUUGUUCGGUCGAGGGUCGGACGCCGUGUACCGUGACAAUAUCCGGAGCACUGACCUUGAAUGUCUCGAGGGGGUCCCGAUUAGACGUCCCAUCCUUGUUUCCCGCGCCCUAACAUGCCCUGGGCCGUUCGGCGGGAAGGCUGCAAAAAGAUCGUUGGGACGGAUGCCUGUUCCCUAUCACGCCUCCCAUGACCUGUGUGUUAGGUGGGGAAGCAUCAGGCGCAUUUAAUGCCCCGGUUCGCGUGCGCGCGUCAGGCGGCGGGGGGCGUCUUUGCGCUCGACGCCUCCUGGUUCGCGUGAGCCUGUUCCGUAUUCGACGGUAACCAGCGCUCGACGCCUGAUCGAUUCGCUCGACGCUAUUUCCGUCUUCGAGGUUGCGGCAGUCGAUGGCAGCGCACACGUAAGACUAGAGCGUCGAAUUGAGGGCCGCGACCUGCGUACGGGCAAUCUCGUAAUGCACAUCGGUGAGGGUACCCCUUACUGAUACCCUCGACAGUAGCCCCCGAGUCUCCAUUUGAGCGCUAGCGCUCGAGUGGAGGCUUUUGUUUUGCGGUCGAAUUUCCGUGGGGGCGCGCGAGCGACCCUGCGGGGGUAGCCCCCGAGCCUUCGGGGGAGUUUUUGACUCCUUCGAGGGUUAUAUUGUUUAAUUCGCAGAAGCGCUUUCGACACCGGUGGUGGAAGGUUCUGACUGGCUCGUUUUGCCCGGGGGUUUCGACGUACUCUCGAUAGAGCGAGCGUCUUCCACCCCAGAUUGAGUUCCUAGCGGGUAGUCCAAGUUAGAACCUGUGCCCCUUUCGAGGGGGUCAGCUGUAGCCCGGAGGCGUUCUCAUAAAGCGGGAUCGACGUGGUCGGGGAUACCAGUCUCAUUCGAUAGAGUCCGGCGGCUCGAUGCCUCCCGUCGGGGGGAUUCCUCUCGACUGUCUCGACCCUACCUUGGAUAUCGCCAGCGAGUCCUUGAGGCGGGCCUCGAUAUUCGACCGCUCGGUGGAGAUCCCUGACUCUGGCGCUCGAGAUCGACUGCCGAACCCUUUCGGCGGGCCAGCCAUCGACCUCUCGAGACUCUCGCGGGUACGCCCCUUGGCUUACAAGGGAAGGAAGUAGCCGUGACGGUUCGCCUUUCUGCCCGUUGGGCGCGCCUUUUCGGGUGGAUGACGUUACGACACUGCGUCGGCGUGGAAUUCGGAACGCCACGCCUGUAAAGGGGGGAGACUGUUAGGUGGCGCAUUUAUGGGGGGACGUUACCUCAUUUCUCGGAUCUGUCCGUUGGCAGAUCGUGGCUUAUAAAUACGCCGCGGCACCGCCGCCGUUGUUUCUUCCGCCUCCCAUCUUCACUCUUGCCUUAGCCUCUUUGCCGUCUUAGCUCUCUCGCCGUCUCACGCGCACACGCCUCCUCGAGCAGUAGCGGAUCCACCGUCCCUCCAGCCGAGAUGCCUGUAAGACUCGUCACCGCCGCCGACUGGCGCCCGUCGUUGAUGAUGGAGCGCCGGUUGUUAGAGCUUGAGAAAGAGGGACUGCUGUGCCGCCGUACCACGCUAUCGUCGCCAGAGUGGAUCGCGCCGCCGGCGAGUCACAGGGAGCCCCAGCCGCCCGAGGGCUACGUGGUGUCGUUCGCCAAGUUCCACCGCCACGGCCUGGGCGCGCCCUCGAGCCGCUUCACGCGGGCCCUCUGCUUCCACUAUGGGGUGGAGCUCCAGCACUUCUCCCCGAACGCCAUCACCGUCGCGGCGAUCUUCACCGCGGUACGUGAGGGCUAUCUGGGGAUGAUGCCCCACUGGGAUCUGUGGCUCCACCUCUACAGGGGCGAGCUUUUCAAUGCCCCCACCGGAACCACCGGCGUGAGGAAGCAUGUGCGGGCCGGGUGCCUCAACCUGGUAUUGAAGAUGAAGAAGACAGAAAGGCUGCGCGAGUACAUCCCGGUGGGUCUGUCAUCGAACCACGCUGGGUGGGACUCCCAGUGGUUCUACCAGUGGAACGACGACGGUCUCUUCCCCGCCUACACGGGCCGUCUGAUCACGGAGCGCCCGGACAACUGGACGUACGACGUCGUCCAGGAGCACCAGUCGCGGCUCGACCCCCUCCUCAUGCCAUGAAGAAGCUGUGCCUGGACGGCCUGUCCGCCGCUCUCGUCCUCUCGGCCGUCCAUCGUCGAAGGGUCCUUCCCUUGAUGUCUCGGCCGUUGAGGAUGGACGAGAUAGGGCCGGGCGUCUCGUCCCGGGAUCUCGAGGCUUGCCGGAUGUCCAACGUGGCUCUGGCGGACGACGAGGUCGCCGCCCGGGUCAGGGCGGCCAUUGCCGGCGACUUUAAGCCGGAGCAUGUCAACGGCUUCCCUAUGAGGCCCGACGAAGGCUCGGUCGAUCUGGUAUGUUUUCUUCUUCGCGCGUAGCCUUGACUCUGGGUUCCUUUUCCUCCCUUUUUUCUAAGUUCACUUUUAUUCUGGCAGGGGCGGAUCGACGUCCGGUCCUCGACGCCCCCGGUAAGGGAGGACGAAGUUGAUCGCGACGCGCGGCGCCGGUCCGCCGAGAAGAUGAAGUCCGCCAAGGACUCUAAGAAGAAGGGGGAGAAAAAGAAAAACCUUGACCGCCAAGCCUUAGAGGCGCGUCGGUCCAAAUCCAGGCAGAGGGGAGAGCCUGAGGAGGAGUCCCCCAGUGACGAAGACGACGAUGAUGACGAGGACAGUGACGACUCUGAGGGGAUGGCAUCACGCCUCGACCGAAUCCUCGAGGGUCCGCCUCGAGGCGACGCUGACGCCCCCCGGACAGAGACUCCAAAGGAAGGUCCAAGCGGAUCUCACCGCCCUCGGGCCGACACCCCCCCACGCUCAAGGCUGGUCAGGUCGCACCGCUUCCUCCCCCGGCGCCCAAAGAGGGCGGUCAUGCUAUGCCCCAGGUGACGGGGCCACUUACUCGCGGCCGCGCCGCGGCCUCCGAGAAAGGAGAGGCCGGCCGUAGGAGUGCCAGUCCCGGCACCCGCCAGGCGGGAACUGACGCGCCUAGGCCCGCGCCCGCCCUCGAAGGGCCUGGAGCCCUGACGCGAGGUGGCUCGAGGCCCACCAGUCGGGGCGGCGGGAGGCGAGCUGUUCUCCCUGUGGGGUAAGCCUUUUCGUUGUUGUGGCCUUUGUCUUCCUGCUCCUCCGCAUUUCCUCAUAUGCCGAUCUUUUCUCAGGCUAAAGCGGACCCUCGAGCAGGCCCAGCCGUCCAUGGCAAAGAGGCUCAAAACGGGAGCCGCCUUCAAGGAACCAGGUUCGUAGUUUAUUUCUGGGCCUUGCGAUGUUCUUAUGUCGGUUACUAUAGCGUCUGGCCUUUACCCUUUGCUUUGUAGGCUUCUCCGACUCCCAACCUCCAGCCGGCAUCGAGAGGGCUCCGCCUCGUCCCGUGCCUACCCCGUCGCCGCCGACUUGUGGUGAGGCGCCCCAGACGCAAGCGUCAGAGGGAGCCCCCGAGCCUCCUAAAUUGGGGGUCGAGGGGGAACCCAUCACCAUCAGCGAUACGUCUGAGGGUAACGAAGCGUCUGGGGGUGCCCGCCCUAUGGAGGAGUAAACGUCGACCUCCCACGUCGCGGGACGGACUCCCUGGCCUGCUGGCCUUCGAGCUCUCGAAGAGCAAAGGAAGAUGGAGGAGGAGGAGGAGCGGGAGCGCGAGGCGACACGGCCGUCACUGGAGCAGCAGCAACAACAACAACCCCAGUCGGUGGAGCAGCAACAGCAGCUGCAGCGUCAGCAGGAGGAGCAGCAGCAGCGGCAGGAGCAGCAACAGCAACAGCAGCAGAGGGGCCAAGAGGACGAGCCACUCGAGCCCCCGCCUCAAGGUCUGGCCCAAACGGCGCCACUAGCGCCGCAAGAGCCCGGCGAUCAGGAGGAAAAUUUGCCGGUGUACGGCCCUCCCACCCCAGCGUGGCUUCUCCCGGGGGCGCCUGCCGCGAUCCGGGCAGAGUCGGGGCGAGCGGACGGAGUGGUGGCGCUCGCCUGUAUGAUGCGCACCCCCACCGACCCCGAGUCCGAGAUCAAGAGGAUGAUCUACGGCAUGGACGGGAUCGCCCCAGGGUUCCUCCGGGAGCGUCGAGCGUGGGAGGACCGCUUUCCCUCUGAGGAGGAUGAGAUUGGGUCGUCAGGGAGCAAGGACGGUACCUGGAAGACGGUGGACGACGACGGGCGGUUCCCUUGCCUCAUCGACCUGUUCUUGCGCCACAGGGGUUCCCUCGAGACCGUCGAGAACCUUAUCCGCGGCGUCAAGGCGCGGGCUGAUCGGGAGAUGGAGAACUGGUGUCCCGAUCAGAUUCGUCUCCGAGCUUCCACCGACCCGUUCGAGCCCAAUAUCUUCCUCGGCGACAAGAAGGAGGCCGAGAAGUGGGAGCAUGUCGAGGAGCUCCGCCUUUGGAUGAAGCACGUGGUGGGGCUCCUGUCGGACAUCAUCAACAACGGGCUUGGGCCUGCUUAUUUUGUAAGUGUUUUUCGAUCUUUGGUCUUCGUGGAGCCUUUUGGUUUUGUGCUCUAACUGUUUGUCCACCGGCUCGUAGGAUAUGAAAGAGACCUCCCGCAUCAAGUCGAGCUUUAUCCACGCCACACGAGGCGGCUGGGAGCAGCUCCCCGUCCUCAAGGAUCAACUCCUCGAGUCGCAGGAGAAACUUCUUAAGGCCUAUAAAGAUCUCAUAGCGCUCGAGGAGGAGAAGAAGGCGAGGGAGGCUGCCUUGGCGGAGGCUUGAGAGGCUUCGAAGAAGGCGGAGGAGGAGACGACGCUGCUGCGGGAGCGGGCUCUGACGGUCGAGGAGGCUGCAUCCAGAGCCCGGGAGGAGGCCCUGUCCUACAAGAACGUUAUUGCGGAUCUGGACAAGGAGAAGGCCCUUCUCAAGACCGACCUAGACUCCCUUCGCAAUUCCUUCCAGAAGAUGAAGGUGGCGUAUGUGGAUAGUGAGGUCGCCAGGAGUGCCGCCGAGGACAUAAAUAAGAAGGCCCUCGAAGACCUCGAGGCGGAGCGAGCUCGAUCCCGCAGUCUCUCUGACGACGUUGAGCGUCUGAGGGCAGAAUUGCUGGUGAAGAGUGUGGCCAUUGCUCAGGCUGGCAAGGUGAUCGAAGAUCUCCGCGUUGCCAAUACUGAGCUGGCGCGUUCCAAUAGAGAGAUCGAGAGGGCCAACACCAGAUUGGUCGUUGAGAACACGGCCCUGGAGGAGAGCGUUCGAGGUAUGUUUCCUUUGUCGGGUUAUUUUUUCGAGGUGUGCUUGGUUUUUUCCUAAAGCUUCUUGUAUUGGCGUUUACAGGGCUUAAGGACGAACUCCUAGCCGCCCAAGUCGAGGCCCGUAAUGCUAAGGCCCUGCUCGAGGCGGAGGUCGCUUUGAACCGUCGCGUGCGGACGGCGAUAAGCGACCUCUCGACCUCUUGGGAGGUCGAGCCAAUGGACGAGUCGAGGGAGGGAGCUCGAGGCAACGCACUGGUCGACCAGCUGUGCUACUUAGGCGCGGUGCUGAAAGACCGAGUGCGGGACGCCCUCCACAUCGGGGUGAAGCGGGCAAUGGCAGUUGUCUGCUCGGGCUUCUCCUAUGACAUGGAGGUGGUGUCCCACGGCUUUGUCACCGACAUCUCCAAGACCGACGUGGAGAACGAAGAGAGGCUCCACGCCUUGAUCGACGACGCGGAGGCUCCUGGGGAAAGGCUGGCUAAGCUUUUUGAGCCUGAGGUGCUUCCUCCUGAGACUGGCUCGGGCACAGGCGAGGGUGGUGAGGACCAUACCAUGGACUGAGGCCUGCGAGCGUGCUCAGGGUGCCCAGGGCCCCUUGUAUAAUACUUUGUUAACUCCGUUUUUAAGCGACAUAGUAUCUUUUUGUAAUUGUUGAAUGUUUAUUUGUCUUUCCGCUCGAGGUUCUUUUAUUCCUUCUUAUUCCUACGUUUGUAUUUCUUGUUCGAUCUUUCGUCAAAAACAACCUCGAUCACCUCAAGGGUAAGGAAGUGAGUAGAGUUUCCGUAGCCCGGGGGCGUAGGGGUUCUCAGGCUUGUUGUCCCUCGGCUUUUGAGGGGCUCGAGGUGCCUUGGCUACUCAAAUCGUGCAAGGUUUACUAAGUAAGAAAAGAAAAUUUCUUGGCUUUUUCGACGUUUGGGGUGGGGUCGUCCCCCUGGUAGCCCCCGAGGGGGGUGUUGACUAUGAUGGGUCAUAGUCGGCGCCCCCUUCUAUCGUCGAGAUCAUGACUUGUAAAGCCUUAGUACAAAAAGAAGUUGGAUGCUCGAGGGAAGGACUUCAUCUAUUCAUACAUUCGUUUACAGGGUCUUGGUACAAAAUAUACGUAAGAACAUAAGUUUUGAACUUCUAGGGGUAGAAUCGACGUAGCUGUUCGAUAUUCCAUGCGUUGGUGAAGACCGCCCCCUUCUCGUCCGCUAACUUGUACGUUCCUGGCUUCAAGACCUCGGCCACCACGUACGGGCCUUCCCAUGGCGGGGUCAGCUUGUGACGUCCUUGGUUGCUUUGCCGUCGUCGUAGGACAAGGUCGCCUACGUUUAAGUCCCUCUUGCAUACGUGUUUGUCGUGGUAGUGUCGAAGCUUCUGCUGGUAUCUGGCAGAGUUGAGGAGGGCCAUGUCUCGAGCCUCCUCAAGCUAAUCGACCGCGUUCUCUUGAGCUUCCUUAUUCGACUGCUCGUUGUAUGCCUUGAGUCGAGGAGAUCCAUACUCGAGGUCCGUUGGGAGCACGGCCUCAGAACCGUAGACCAUGAAGAACGGGGUGUAUUUGGUGGCCCGGCUUGGCGUCGUCCUCAAACUCCAUAAGAUCGAGGAAAGCUCCUCGACCCAUUUCUUGCCGAAUUUCUUCAAGCGAUUGUAGAUUCUUGGUUUGAGCCCCUGCAAGAUCAUGCCGUUCGCACGCUCGACCUGGCCGUUAGUUCGAGGGUGAGCCACCGCGGACCAGUUCACACGGAUGUGAUGCUGAUCGUAGAAGUCCAUGAACUUUUUGCCGGUGAACUGGGUGCCAUUGUCGGUGAUGAUUACGUUAGGGAUUCCGAAUCGGUGUAUGAUGUCGGUGAAGAAAAGGACGGCUUGCUCGGAGCGGAUGUUGGUGAUGGGUCGAGCCUCGAUCCAUUUGGAGAAUUUGUCGAUGGCCACCAGCAAGUGGGUGUACCCUCCUUUCGCUUUUUGCAGGGGCCCCACUAAGUCGAGUCCCCACACCGCAAAUGGCCACGUGAUGGGGAUCAUCUGAAGAGCGUGGGCGGGAAGAUGCGUCUGUUUGGCGUAAAAAUGGCAUCCAUGACAUGAGCGUACGAGCUCGAUGGCAUCCGCUACGGCCGUCGGCCAGAAGAAACCUUGUCGGAAAGCGUUCCCUACGAGGGUCCGUGGAGCAGCAUGGUGGCCACAAGCCCCCGAGUGUAGGUCCUCGAGUAGUUUCCGGCCUUCUUCCACAGUGAUGCAACGCUGCAGGACCCCCGUCGGGCUUCGUCGGUAUAGCUCAUUGCCUUCACCGUAAAUCACGUAUGACUUGGCUCGUCGAGCGAUAUGGCGGGCCUCAGAUGGAUCUUCUGGCAGUUCGCAGUGGAUUAGGCAGUCGAGGAACGGUGUGCGCCAGUCGAACGGUCGACCGGGUCGCUGUUCUGCCUCCAUCACCUCUGCUGCCACCAGCAGCGUGUCGACGGUGUCGGUUGGCUGGGCAGAAGCGGCAUCGACGCCAACCCCCGAGCCCAAGUCGACGGAUGGCUCGUGGAGAUCUCUCGAGAGCGCGUCAGGCGGUACCGUGCCUCGGGUUGACGGGAUUUUGGCGAGUUCGUCAGCUGCUUCGUUGUAGCGUCGGGCGAUGUGGACGAGCUCGAGGCCAUGGAACUUGUCUUCGAGCCGACGGACUUCUUUGCAGUACGCAUCCAUUUUCGGGUCGUGGCAGCUCGAAGUCUUCAUCACCUGGUCGAUGAUGAGUUGGGAGUCACCUCGGACGUCGAGGCGUCAGACUCCUAGCUCGAUGGCAAUCUUGACACCGUUGACGAGGGCCUCAUAUUCUGCGACGUUGUUGGAUGCGGCAAAGUGAAUCCUGAUGACAUACCUCAUAUGGACGCCCAAGGGUGAGAUGAACAACAGGCCAGCCCCGGCCCCCGUUUUCAUGAGUGACCCGUCGAAAUACAUCGUCCACAGUUCCGCCUGGACCUGGGUCGGGGGGAGCUGGGAGUCUGUCCAUUCCGCGAUGAAAUCCACCAGGGCUUGCGAUUUGAUGGCCUUGCGGGGCGCGUACGUGAGAGUCUCACUCAUGAGUUCGAUCGACCAUUUAGCUAUCCUUCUUGUGGCCUCCUUGCUCUGGAUUAUCUCGCCCAAAGGGAAAGACGAGACCACUGUGAUGGGGUGGCCGAGAAAGUAGUGCUGCAGCUUGCGGCGGGUGAGGAUUAUGGCGUAGAUCAGCUUCUGGAUUUGGGGGUAACUUACCUUGGUCUCUGAAAGCACUUCGCUAACGAAAUAGACUGGCCUUUGGACUGGCAGCGCUUGCCCCUCUUCCUACCUCUCGACCACCACCGCUGCACUAACGACCUGGGUCGUCGACGCAACGUAAAGGAGCAGUGGUUCUGCAGGUUGAGGCAGGACCAAGACCGGUGCUGAGGUCAGCGUUUUCUUCAGUCUUUCGAGAGCUCCCUCGGCCUCAGGGGUCCAAGAAAAGCGCUCGACCUUCUUCAGGAGUCAGUACAGCGGUAACGCCUUUUCCCCUAGUCUCGAGAUGAAAUGACUCAGAGCCGCCAAGCAUCCCGUGACUCUUUGGACACCCUUGACGUCCCGGAUCGGCCCCAUUCUCGUGAUGGCCUAGACUUUCUCGGGAUUGGCCUCGAUACCGCGCUGGGAUACAAUGUAACCCAAGAGCAUGCCUCGAGGUACGCCGAAGACGCAUUUCUCGGGAUUGAGCUUGAUCUGGUUGGUGCGUAAGCAGCUAAAAGCGAUCUCGAGGUCUUGGAUCAGGUCCCCUCGCUGCUUUGAUUUGACGACAAUGUCGUCGACGUAGGCCUCGACCGUCGACCCUAUGUGUUCGCCAAAUACGUGGAGCAUGCAACGUUGGUACGUGGCUCCCACGUUUCGAAGCCCAAACGGCAUGGUUACAUAGCAAUACAUCCCAAAAGGCGUGAUGAAAGAGGUCGCGAGCUAGUCGGACUCUUUCAUUUUGAUUUGAUGGUAGCCAGAAUAUGCAUCGAGGAAACAAAGGGUUUCACAUCCCGCAGUAGAAUCGACAAUCUGGUCAAUACGUGGUAAUGGAAAAGGAACUUUCGGACAUGCUUUAUUUAGACUUGUAUAAUCGACACACAUCCUCAUUUUCCCAUUCUUUUUCUUAACUAAUACAGGGUUUGCUAACCAGUAGGGAUGAUGAACCUCCUUGAUGAAUCCGGCCGUCAAAAGCUUGUGGAAGUCCUCGCCAAUGAUCUUGCGCUUCUCCUCGUCGAAUCGGCGCAACCGUUGCUUCACUGGCUUGGAACCGGCUCGAAUCUCCAAGGAGUGCUCGGCGACUUCCCUCGGUAUGCCUGGCAUGUCCGAGGGACUCCAUGCAAACAUGUCGGCGUUCGCACGGAGAAAGUCGACGAGCAUAGCUUCCUAUUUGGGGUCGAGGUCGGCGCUGAUCGUCAGCACCUUGCCAUCGGAGUUGUUGGGGUCGAGCGGGAUCUUCUUGGUUCCUUCCGCUGGCUCGAAGUUGCCCGCGUGGUGCUUGGGCUCUGCAGCCUCAGCGGCCAGGGCCUCGAGCUUUGCGACGAGCUCAGUGGAGUUCUCGACCGCCUCCCCGUGCUCGACGCACUCGACGUCACACUCGUAAGCGUGCUCGAAGGAGGAGCUGACGGUGAUGACGCCUUUGGGUCCAGGCAUCUUGAGCUUCAAGUAGGUGUAGUUGGGAAUGGCCAUGAACUUGGCGUAGCCCGGGCGCCCGAUGAUGGCGUGGUACGUGCCCCGAAACCCGACCACCUCAAUGGUGAGGGUCUCCUUCCUGAAGUUAGCCGCCGUGCCAAAGCAGACCGGUAGGUCGAUUCGACCUACUGGCAGCGCCUUUUUCCCUGGCACGACGCCAUGGAAACCGCCGGCGCUUGGCUGGAGGCGUCCCCUAUCGAUGCCGAGGAGGUCGAGGGUCUCGAGAUAGAUGAUGUUGAGGCUGCUGCCUCCGUCCAUUAGCAGCUUAAAGAGCCGGGUGUUGAUGAUGAUUGGGUCGACGACGAGCGGGUAGACACCUGGGGCGACUACCUUGUCGGGGUGGUCCUCUCGAUCGAAGGUAAUGGGGGUGCUCGACCAGUUGAGGUACUGGGGCACCGCCAUUCUUGCCGCAAAGACCUCACGGCGUUACCUUUUGCGCUGCCUCGUGGUUAACUGCGUAGAAGGCCCACCAUAGAUCAUGUAGCAGUCGUGGACGGCGGGGAAACCGUUGUCGUUCUUGCUGCCCUCUUUGUCACCGCCUUUCUGCUUCUUCGAGUCGUCACGCUCAUCCCUUUUGAACCCCAGACCGUCGAAAUGCCUUUUCAGCAUUCGACAGUCCUUGAGCUUGUGGUUGGCGCCUCCCUUAUGGUAAGGGCAUGGCUCUUCGAGCAUCUUGUCGAAAAUACCUCCGUCUGGGGGGCCUCUAGGCUUCUUCCGCUCCACAGCAGCGACGAGAUCGUCGUCGAAGUUCUCCUGCUUGUACUGUCGCACUUUCUGCUUGUUCUUGUUCUUCUUGAGCCCUCUACUGGGGGUUCCAUCUUCAUCGGCAGGCCGCUUGCCUUUCCCCCCUUCACAGCUGAAGAAGGUGCCGACUGCCUCUUCCCCUGCCGCGUAGUUUGCCACUACGUCCAUCAGCUCAUCGACGGUCUGAGGGCGAUUUCGGCCCAGUUCCCGCACUAAGUCUCGACUGGUGGUACCAGAGACGAAAGCCAGGAUGACGUCAUAGUCGGGGAUGUGCGGCAGCUCAGUGCGCUGCUUCGAGAAGCGUCGAGCAUACUCUCGUAGAGUUUCUUCUGACUUCUGCUUGCACUUGCUGAGGUCCCACAAAUUUCCGGGCCGUAUGUAGGUCCCUUUGAAAUUUCCCUCGAAGACUUUAACCAAAUCGACCCAGUCGUGGAUUUGAUUUGCUGGAAGUUCCUCAAGCCAUCGACGGGCGGUGUCGAAGAGGAAGAGUGGUAGCUGUCUCAUGAUGGCUCGAUCAUCCCCUCGAGCGCCACCUAGCUGGCAGGCCAGCCUAAAAUCAGCCAGCCAUAAUUCUGGUUUGGUCUCUCCAUUGUAUUUCGCGAUGCUGGUCGGGGGUCGGAAUGGACUGGGCAGGGGCGUGCUGCGGAUCGCCCUGCUGAACACCCGUGGGCCUGGUGGCUCGGGGGCCACCCGGUCCUCGUCGCUGUCGUACCUUCCGCCGCGAUGUGCGCUGUAACCUCGCUCUUCCGCGUCUCCGUGGCGGCGGCGUCGAUUCUCUUCGAUGUCAUGCCGCGCAUCGUGUCGACGCUGAUUGUCGACGGGGAGAACGAGAGCGGUCUUUCUGCCUCGAGGAGACACCUCCUUUUCAUUUUGAGGCUGCUCGUCGCGCUUUUUAGUGGCAGCUCCUCAUCGUCGAGAAGCUGAGCUUUCGGCUUGUUGAACUGCCGCCACCUGGAGCAGGGUCUGUACCUCGUCUCGAAUGCGUCGAGCCUGGGAGUUCGACGGCUCUAGCAUGUUGCACAGCAGCAUCGUCGCCGCCACUACAUUUUGGCCUGCUCGAGGGAAGCGGCUGACGGGCUGCUCUGGCUCUGCGUCUCCGACGAUUUGUCGAUGUACCUCUCGAGCACGUCUGCGAACACUUCCGCCUGGCGGGUAUGGCAAGUCUUGCUCAAGGAUUUGCUCAAGCAGGACGAGGCGCUCUCGGUCUUCAUCGAGCUUCAUCUUGAGCUCUCGCAGCUGCGCUAGCUGUGCAGCCUUGUCUUCUUGUGGAGGGGGGUCGACCUGUCCGUCGUUCCCAGGCGUCCUGGGGUCUUCUCGCGCCGUGGGGGCUCGACCGCCUGCAGCAGCAUCCCGCGUCUCGUCAGUAGUUUCUACUGCCCCGUCGACGUGAUAGCAUUCCCUCGUAGGGUCGUAGCUAUCAGUCUCGGAGUCGAAGUCCGACUCGGUGGUGUAGAAGCAUCCACAUCCGUCCUCCAGCAGCCGCUGCCUAAGUGAGGUGAUUGUGUAUCGCCCAGGGCCUUGGCGGCGGAGGCCUCGCUCCUGGGAGAAAUCUGGCAGUUCGGACGUCGGCCGUAAUGUCUCGGAGUCACGUGGGAGGACCAUUGGUCUCUCCACGUUCGUCUGAGCAUUUGGGCAUAUUGCUCUGGCGAGCGACGUCGCGGCGUUGUCCAAUCCGAAUGGCAGUGCCCUUCUUGGAGUGGACAACCCGCGUGGAAGUAGUUUAGUAGCGGUGGGGGAGGGCGCGCGAGACGCGUCCCCUCCCAUCGUCGUGCGAUGUUGAGCCGUCGUGCCUGCGGUUCCGGCGCAUGGUGUUGCCGGCUCGCGGUCCACCUCCUGCCUCGCACGAGUUGCCGGUCGUGAUGAGGCAGAGGGGCGACGGUAGUGCUGUCCGCGCUUCUUCUUGGGCGGGGAGGCGUGGUGGCGAGGGCGUCUUGGGGCCCUCAACCGAGCUGGUGCAACGCGGGCUCCUCCCAGUUCUUUGACUGAGAGCAAGAUCAUGUCGUAGCCGGAGCCCGUAGACAUGAACUCGAGACUCCCAAACCAAAUCACCGUGGAGCGCGGAAUCGGCGAGGCAAGAGCUGCCAUCUGGAAAGGAGUGGGAAACCGAUGAAAAACACGCAGGACCCCUACCUGGCGCGCCAACUGUCGGUGUCUUUCCCACGGGGGGUCACACCAACGAGUAAAUUUGUGUGCGUGCUCCCUUUCCCAGAUGGUGAUGCAAGAAUACACAGAGAUUUAUCCUGGUUCGGGCAAGAGAAGGCCCUACGUCCAGCGGGGGGGAGAGGCUUGUAUUAUCUUGCAACUAAGUGCUUGUACAGGGGUGAAUACAAGCGUGGUAUGAAGUGUGUGAGCCCUACUGCGUAUGUGUGUAGUAUUGCGUGGUGUUCUAUUCCUGAGUCUCUCCUUUUAUAGUUCCAAGGAGUGACUUAGGGUACAUGCGUAGACGUCAGAGUAGGGGUCGGUAGCAGCAUGGUGUGCAGACCUACUCGAGGCUUCCGUACCGGCAUGACUUCGAGCUGUCCCGUCUUAAUAGUCUGGUGAUGAUUACACGUGCCCCUGCAUUCUGCUCUGUGCGCCGUCUUGUGCUGGCUCAACGGUCGCAUGCUCGUACGGUAGAGCGGCAGAUCUGGCGGGGUAGUUAUGGUGUUAUCAGUCGACGCUCCUCACGUCCCUAGGAAGGAACCUUGUUCGGUCGAGGGUCGGACGCCGUGUACCGUGACGAUAUCCGGAGCGCUGACCUUGAAUGUCUCGAGGGGGUCCCGAUUAGACGUCCCAUCCUUGUUUCCCGCGCCCUGACAUGCCCUGGGCCGUUCGGCGGGAAGGCUGCAAAAAGAUCGAUGGGACGAAUGCCUGUUCCAUAUCACGCCUCCCGUGACCUGUGUGUUAGGUGGGGAAGCGUCAGGCGCAUUUAAUGCCCCGGCUUGCGUGCGCGCGUCAGGCGGCGGGCAGCGUCUUUGCGCUCGACGCCUCCUGGUUCGCGUGAUCCUGUUCCGUAUUCGACGAUAACCAGCGCUCGACGCCUGAUCGAUUCGCUCGACGCUAUUUCCGUCUUCGAGGUUGCGGCCGUCGAUGGCAGCGCACACGUAAGACCAGAGCGUCGAAUUGAGGGCCGCGACCUGCGUACGGGCAAUCUCGUAAUGCACAUCGGUGAGGGUACCCCUUACUGAUACCCUCGACAAAGACCAAGGAAGUAACUAAGCUCUCCUAUCAUGGACAUCUCAAACUCAUGAGCCAUCAUUCUUCCAAACUCUUCACAAAAGUCUUGACUGGUUGAUCCAAAAAUGAUAUCAUCAACAUAGAUUUGCAACACAAACAAGUCAUUUCCUAGUUUCUUGGUGAAGAGGGUAGUGUCAACCUUUCCCAUCUUGAACCCUUUAGAGAGAAGAAAGUCUCUCAAGCUCACAUACCAUGCUCUAGGUGCUUGCUUCAAACCAUACAAUGCCUUCUUGAGCUUGUUGUUGACACUUGCUAACACCACUUGAAUACUAGGUUGUCAUCCCCAGCAUGGCACUAGAGUGUACUAUGGUAUUUAUACGCACACAGAUAAUCCGCAAGCGCAUGGAUACCGUUGAAGCUUUCACCCGGUUAAAGGUUUUAUCGUAUCCACAGGGAAACGGGAGAACCAACUAGGCUCUAACUUAACCAAGAUAGAUAGAUAGGUAUAAAUAGGAAAGAUAGUAGAAUUGAAUAAGAACAAUAUUAAAGGUAAGAUAACAAUGGGUAAUAAUAUGGGAAUAGAGUGUAGAGCAAUUCUAGUAUAUGGGCGAUGGUAGCAGAAUAGAGAGGAUAACUAUGGUUUCUCUACUUCAAAGGGGUAUGUCUAUGUCUAGGACGAACCACGUGAUAAGAGUACACCACAAAGGAUGCUUAUCCAAAGGCCGAUAAACCCUACCCGUCCUGCUAACGAGAGGUGGACUACAGGGGACCAACGUAACUGUCACCUACGCGGCCUACCACACGAUCCACCUAGUCAGGGGAUAUCCACAAGUAAUCUAGGUCUAAGCACCACGCUUACACCUAUACUACAACUCUAACCUAUAGGGUCCUAUAGAUUAGAAGUACUCAAAAGAGUUGUGAACCAGAACAUACAUGAUUAGUAAUUGCAUAAUGAAUUAGAAGUAGAUUACCAGAGUCAUCCCAUGAGCAAGCUUGAUUAGAGCUUGAUCAUGGCGAAGUACAACCGGAGGAAGAACCGACAGGCCGGCCUCUCCUCUAAUCCUCCUUCGCUCUCCAUCUCGCUACUAUCUAGAUCUACUCUAGUUUAGAGAAGAGAGGAGAGUUCUCAUCUCUAAACCCUAGCUUUUGCUCUGUCUAUGAAUAAUGAAUAAUGAUCAAGGGGUGCCUCCUCCAGGGGCCAGGGGGUUUGGUUUUAUAGUCCCCUCAAGUGAACCUGGGCCGUCGGAUCAAACCGACAUUGAUUGAACAGUUAUUCUUGAUCCUUUAGGUCGGUGGAGAUCUCCCGAGAGAAAGAGUCCUGAUUGGGCUCCAGAGGUGGGCGGGCACCCAGUAGGACAGGGCGGGCGCCCUGCCUCUGGCCCCGUCUCGUGGCUUCUGGAGUCUUCUAGAUGUAAGAUAAUUGCGCAGCACGUUAAUAUCUUUACGUAAUCCCGACGUGUGGGGCUUUCUUCCUUAUUUCCUGAUAACCCCCUGCAGAAAUAGACAAACACCAAAACUCGUGGAAUUCUGUCAGAUAAAACCCUAAGUCUCGAUGUUGAUUUCAUUUGGAUCCUUUUCUUUGUUUAUUUGAUAGUUAAAUUUGAUACUUAAGGACCGUCAACAAACUCCCCCAAGCUUACCUCUUGCUCGUCCCUGAGCAAGGAUAAACUCAGCUAUGGAUCAUGAGUUGUUGCAAUAUCUUUAAAAAUUGAUGGUACACAUGCUUUUAAAUGAGGUCCCAUCUCUGAGUUAGAGUAAACUGUCAAGACUUAAAACUUACUUACUUUACCUUUCACCAUGGGACUUGUAACCGUCACUUCUGUCUUGAGUGGUUAAAAGAUAGAACAGUCCAGUCAAGUGCCAUGUCGCUUAUUCUUGAUCAGCUAUAGCUCUGGAGUUUUUGCAGAUUUUCAAAUAAAACUCAGAGAUUCCUUUGUAUGACUCUCUCAUAUCUCUCUUUUGUGGUAUUUCUGGAUCCUUACCAAGGCAGUGAUGGUAUAUGCCUUCUCUCAAAAUAUGUGGUAUUUGUGGUAUAAGGCAUAGUGACAUUGCCUUCUCUCUCACCCUACUCUAAUAAGGCUUUAAUAUCUGGAGCUCAUAGGUGGGAGAUAAAAUAUACAUACUUACAAGACAUUUAUUGUGUAGUCAAACUAUGGAUCCAAAGAAACAAAUCAAUAAGCCAAAUCAAGAUGUGCAUGUGUGGCGAAUGAAUGGUGUAUGGUGAUGAUGGUGAUAACAAUGGUGAAAGUCUAAUUCUACUUUUGCUCUUUUGAGGGGAUACAUACCUUCCUUGCUUUUUGAAACUUUAUGAGGAGAAUGAGAUGCUCUUCUUUUUUUUCUUUUCUCUCAGAUGGAUAUCUUAUACCCCUAAUUCUACUGUCGGACACUUGUCCAUUUUUACCUCUUGUCUCACUCUUUUUCUUUUCUUUCGAGGUUCCGGGCACUUGCCCCUUUUUAUUUCCUCAUUUAUUUAUUUAAUUUUUUUUCUUCUUUUUUUUUCUUCUCUUUUUUUAGAGCACUCAUCUCUUGAGAUAAUAUAGCAAGUGGUAGUAGCAAGAUAACUUGAGCAUUUAUUUCACAAGGGAAAAACACAUAUGUUUUUGGCUAUUCUCUCCCGAAUUAGGAGUAGAAUAUUUUUAGGUGAUUCUAGAGAUGGAAAUGGAUGGAUAUAUGUGGAUGGUACUUCCGGAGUAGAAGUAGCAUAUAUAUGAGUGAACGUGCAUGUGAAUCUUGAUUUAACCACAUGACAAGCUCCUAAGGGUCUACACAGCUUGACCACACUCAAUGCUUAUAAGCAGUAAAUAGUAAAUGUGUGGCUCAAAGUCUAGCAAGCAUGUAUAUAUGGCUGUGGUAGGAAUUUAAACUCUCAUCAUACAGGAACUCAUCAUGCAAUAUUUUAAAGAUUUUUCAAAGAUAAAAUUCUCCAGAAUUCUAGCAUCUCUAGGAACAGAUAAACAACAGCUCAACCUUCCCAUAUCAUAUUCGUUAACAACUUAGAUUUCAGAUCAAGUUUUCAUCCCACAAGUUUAGAUCUAGAGCAAGCUUUAAAUUAUAACAGUUAUGUCUAAACUUGAGAGAGAACUUCAAAUUUGCAAAUUAGGCAGAGCAACUAUUAUCAUAUCCAUGCUAGAGUUUUAUUAUUAAGAUUCAGAUUAGCAUAGCCACUUUAUUUGUUUAUUAAACACACUAAGCAAAAGAUAUAUAUAUAAGCACAAAAUCUUUAUUUGGUUUUUCAUAGUUUAUGUAUUUUAAUAUUCUAAUAUAAUAUAAGUAUAAAGAUAGGUAGAAAUACUUAGCGAGAUAAAUGGGGGUGCUCUCCCCCAAGCUGAAUUUUGACGUAAUUUCUCUUGAUGUAGCUAGCAGGUAGCAGAGGUGUAUUUAAAAGUCAGCAGCAUUCUAACAGCGAUUAGAAUGUCCUCCGUCUGCUAGUCUUCUUGAUUCUUAAAUUCUGUGGAGCUCAAAUAGACAACAAAGCUUGUGGAACUAAUUAAGUGUUAGCAUAAAUAUCUAGCCUUCAUCACGUUGAGCUUCCUCAAUAAAUAUUACUCCCUGUUUUUAUAUUUUUAUUUUAUAUAGUAGAAAAGAAAUAUUUAUUUUAUUUUUAUGCCACCACAGUGAAGGUAUUUAUGGGUUUUAUGCCACUCGUAAACUCACAUGGGGCUUAGUAUUUUAUUUUUUUUAACAUUUUUAUUUUCUUUUCAAGAUAGCAUGAUUAACUAAAAAUCUAUUUAAGAAAAGUAAAUAAUUAAAGGGAAAAAGGGAAUGCAGAAAGGAUAAAUAUGGAUAACUACCAAUCUUACCUUUCGGCGAGGGUUCAAUGUUUUAAGUCUUCUUGUCAAGACUUCUCAUCGUGUUCAUUCUUCAGGUGUGUCAUUUGAUUCAGGUGCGGACCUUGACGUCUGCACCUUUUAAUACGGUGUCACCUAUGUUCAUCGUUUGCCCAGCAGUUCGAAGUGCGGUGUUAGCAGUAUCUUGCUCAGUGUGUUUGUGCUCGUAGUGUACCUGCUCAUAGAGACAAGGCAGAGAUCAAGUGCAAGGGCCCUGUUGGUGGAAAACGACAACAGAACCAAAAGUGUAUUUGUUCUUCUCUAACCUUAAGCAUAGUGAGCAAGACAAAGUUGAUGGAUGAUAAGUUCAUGAGUGUAGAGCUUAGAACAUUUGUCAGACCGCUCAACCUUAUGGAAAGAUAAUCUAUCUAUGUAUAUGUCUUUUUCUUUAUAUCUCUCAAAGAUUGAAUGUGUAACAUUUUAGCUCAUCAUGGAGGUAGUACUAGGAACAAAGAUUAAAGGACUACACAUGCUGAAUCAGUUGGGUUGGUUAAUUUGGAGUUAUAAAUCAUACAUAUUUGUCUCUUUAUUUAUAUGAACGCCAGAACCAAGGAGAAGCUUAUAAAAGUGAUAGUCAAGUACCUUAAGAUGUUACCUUGCUCGAAGAGUGAUGGUACAGUAUCAUCUUGUGGAAGCUUUCCUUUCUUAGCGGUUGUGCGUCGUGUUUGUGGCACCCUCCAUGGAUCAUCUCUCUAUGAUGAAUGAGCUAUGUCCUUCUUGUGCAAAUUGUUAAACUUCAUGUGUCACUCUCUUCGUCUCUGAUGUGAGUUUAUCUCAGGACUUCCCAAAUCGAUAUUGAAAGUUUUUCUGCAGGGGUUAGUCCGACAAAAUAUACCAAUAUCUACUCAAGCAGUUUUUUUUAGUUCAAUAACCAAACUAGACUCCAUGUCUAAUCAGAUUAAGGAAGGCUUAUUCAACCUAAGCACCAUGCUUAAUUUAAAUGCCAAUGGAAGUAUGGCGAGUACUUCCAAACCAACACUUGCUAGUAAAUAGACAAAGGUAGCAUGACAGCAUUUAUAGAGAUUUACUCAAGUGGAGAUGAAGUAGUGUGAUUAGUAUUUAACAAAUUGAGCAUGUCUCAAAGGUAGGGACAACCAGCAUAGCAACAUGGCAA
Molecule: long non-coding RNA, 53296 nt
Filed under: Sorghum bicolor (sorghum)
Lineage: Eukaryota; Viridiplantae; Streptophyta; Magnoliopsida; Poales; Poaceae
Description: long non-coding RNA (SBIC_LNC014105)
Rfam family: Plant small nucleolar RNA R71 (bases 19950-20056)
Source: RNAcentral